This is a long non-coding RNA of Mus musculus (house mouse), 58205 nucleotides long. RefSeq annotates it as predicted gene, 33937. The record is from RefSeq and is a predicted model, not a curated record. The transcript has 3 exons. Lineage: Eukaryota; Metazoa; Chordata; Mammalia; Rodentia; Muridae.
GAGUGUUUAACUGCAUGCAUGUAUGUGGCACCAUGGGCAUGCAGGUAUCAGAGAGGCCAGGAGAAGGUUUCAGAACUCAUGGUGUUAGAGUUACAGAGAUGGUUGUGAGCUGCCAUGUGGGUGCUGGAAACUAAAGCCAGGCUUCUGCAAGAACAGUAAGUGCUCUUAACUACUAAGCCAAUGGCUCUAAACCUUCCUAAGGCUGCGAACCUUUAAUUCAGCUCCUCAGGUUGUGGUGACCACAACCAUAAAAUUAUCCCAUUGCUAUUUCAUAACUGUAAUUUUGCUACUAUUGUGAAUCACAAUGUAAAGAACUGUGUUUUCCAAUAGUCUUAGGCAAUCCCUGUCAAAGUAUUGUUUGAUAGCCCACCCACCCACCCACCAAGGAAUCGUGACCCACAUGUUGAAAACCGCUAUAGUAAGCCAUCUCUCUAAUUUGAAAUGUAUUUAUUUUUGAAUUUUGUUGUUAGUCCAGGUUGAUCUCAAACUUGCAACCAUUCUAGUCUCUUGAACACUGAAGCUAUGAGUCUGUACCACCAUGCCCAGACAGAUCAACUUAUUCAAUGGCCUUAAAAGACUAUAACCAAGUCCAGUAGAAUACAUCUUUAUGAUGAGAUCAUGGAAUUAAAGUCCAGAGAAAUCUUUGCCAUAUUCCAUGGACUCAGAAAUGCACCUUGAGCCUUGGCCAGUGGAUUUAAAUAAACAUGCAAUUUAUCACAGAGAGAGCAAAAGGACAAGUAGGGUCUGGGACAUAGCUCAGUGGCAGAACAUUUGCCUAGAGUGUUGAAGCCUUGUGCUCCAUUCUCAGUACCAUAGAGACAGAGGGCAGAGACAGAGAGGAAGGGCUUGGGAAGGGUAUAAUGGGAGGAGAGGGAAUUUAAAUGGUCAACACAGUCCACCACAGCUACAGGAAACCCUUAAAAGGAUACACAAGCCUGUAAUUUAGUGGGAGACUCUUUUGCUGAGCUAAAACUAAUUUUUUAAAAUAUAUAUAUAUAAUGAUAGACAGCAAUAAUUUCAUUGUAUAAUUGGGUUAAAUGUACAUUUAAUGUACUCUCUUCCUUCAAUAUAGCUUAUCUUUGAGGUUCUGUGGAAUCUGAGUUGCCAUAACAACCUGAGUAAAUCCUUCAUUACUGUAGACAUCUGUAGCUAUUUAUAAAUGCAACAGCUGGAUCUGUCCAGUUAAAUUUCUUUUAGAAAACACCCAAGUAAUUUUCAUUUACUCUGGGUAAACCUAAGGAAAAAUUCAGGUAGCUUUAAAACUAAAAUCCUUAUUCCAAUAUUUGUAUCUUAAAUACUAAAAUGAGCUAUAAACUAUAGAGAAUAAAGCAGAGAGCUGGAAACCUUCCAUUUCAUUUUGUUGUUUUUCUUCCUCAUCUCCAUGUGUGUGCCGUGUGUUAGCACCUGCGGAGGUCAAAAGAAGCUAUGUUAGCAAAGCAUUCUAAACUAUCAACUCUCCUCAACAGAAAUAUGCUUAUUUUAUUUUUUAUUUAAGGAUUUUUUUCUUAUGUAUAUGAUGUUCUGCCCUCAUGUUUGUCUAUCACUUGCAUGUCCAGUGCCCACGGAGGUCUGAAGAGGGUGUUGGCUCCUCUGGAGCUGGAAUUACAGACGGUUGUGACCUACCAUGUAGGUGCUGGGAACUGAACAGCUCUCAAAGAGCUGUGAGUGCUCUUGGCUGUUGAUCCAUUGAUUUUUAAUUAUGUGUGUACGUGCGUGUUCGGGAGCAUGGAGUUGAGGAGAGAGCAUCAGAUAGAUAUACCUCGGAGCUGGAGUUACAGGCCUGUGUGAGUCACCUGACAUGGGAGCUGGGAACCAAACUCAGGUCCUCUGGAAGAGCAUCAUUUGUUCCUAAUCACUGACACAUCUCUCCAACCUCUAAAAUAUUCUUGUUUGAAAUGAAUGCCGUCUCUCCAGUGCUACAUAAUAUAAGUCAAUACACAAAGACAUAAACACUGGUGUUUAUAGGAAACAUUUAGCAGCUGUGAGAGCCUGAUUAAAAAGCAAUAACAGCACAGGUAUUAUGGGUUUGAGCCUUUAAACGGAACACUCAUGAAGCAGGGAGACUGAGUUUGAGUUCCACCUGUGUCACAGAUAAGACCAGGUCAAGAGAAACCUGGAGCCAAUUAAAUUGGUCAGGCCUGGUGUGCCAGCCUCAGCCUCCCUGGUGGGUCUAGCAGCCUGUCGCUUACAUGCUUACAUGCUUACAUGCUUACAUGCUUACAUGCUACAUGCUGGUGGGUCGCUUACAUGCUUUGCCCUAAGGGGCCUUGGAGACGGUUUUCUUGUGGCUAUUCAUGUCUCUGAUCUCAGUGCUGUCCUAAGUGUCAGCUCCAGACAGGUAUUCAGGGUGAUUUUGGAAAGCCUAAGGGUACAGUCCAGAGUUCACACUGGCCAGGUCAUUAUGUCCAUUCAUAACAAGUGGCAGAAUAAGGAACAUGUGAUUGAUGCCCUGUGGAGAGCUAAGUUCAAGCUUUCUGGCUGCCAGAAGAUCCACUUGUCAAAGAAGAAGGGGUUCACCAAGUUAAAUGCAGAUCAAUUUGGACAUGACAGCUAAGAAGAAGCUUAUGCCUAAUAGCUUUGGGGUCAGCUAUAGCCCAUCCAUGGUCCUAAGACCUGCGCUCCUGAGGGCUUCCAUGCUGAGUUCUGCCUCCCCACACUCCACAUCAUGCUCAGUAAUAAAUCUCAUAGCCAAUCUAGAAGAAAGAGAAGAGGGGUGGGGGAGGCUGGGGAUAUAACUCCCUUAUAGGGUAUUUGCUUAGGACAUAAGAAGUCUGUGUUUGAUCCACAAGACCGCAUAAAUAAUGUAGUUCACAUUAAUCCAGGCACUUGGGAGGUAAAAGCAGGAGGCUCGGAAGGUCAAGGUUAUCCUCAACUAUGUACUGAGUUUGAGUCCAGUCUAGGGGACACAAGACCUGUUUCAAAAAAAAAAAUGAGUAAAUAUUUCCCAUUUGAAUCCUUCCUCCUUUCAAGGUGAUUGUUUUGGUCACUAAACCACAGGAGUUAUGUUAAAGAGAUGUCCUCUUUACUGAUUCUAGCUUCUGAGUCUAUGAAAUUUUUUGCUUUAUUUUUGUUGUUGUUGCUGUUUUAAAAAAAGUUCUCUCUAUGUAACCCUGGAUGUCCUGGAACUCUCUUUGUAGACCAGGCUGGCCUUGAACUCACAGCUAUCCACCUGCCUCUGUGUCCUGAGUGCUGGGAUUAAAGGCAUGUGCUACCAUGUCUGGCCCAGAUAUUUGUGAUUUUUUUUCUUUUUUUUUUUUGUGGACCUGGAAAUAUGGUUUAACUCUUAACAUAGUUCACUACUCUCACAAAGGACCUGGGGUUUUGUUCCCGGUAUCCACAUCACAUGGCUCACAGCCACCCAGUGGCUUCUGGCCUCCUUAGGCUCACGCGUGUGCACGCGCACACACACACACACAAAUGAAGAACGAAAAAUUAUAUUAAAAGUUGUUUUGUCUUGCAGCAUGUAGCAGCCAAGUAGCAGCUCCUCGGAGAGUGUCUGUCCCCACAAACAGCCUCAGAAACUUCUGGUUUAACAAACUCUGCUUCAGGUUAUGACUGCUGCAUUUGGGGCCAUCUAUAGCUUUAUCCCAUAGAAAACAGUUUUAAACCACACAUAAGUGACUAAGUAACUGUACUGUUAAUGAACUUUCUUCCUGGGUUGAUAGCAGUGUUCUGUCCCUCUCUCCUCUCAAACUCUGUCCAACUCUAACUUCUCUCCCUAGGUAUUCAAGGCUCUGGCCCCAAGUGAGCUACCGCACAGCCAGGACUCACAGUUUAAAAGUCUAUUGUAUUUUAGAAAUAAUCAACUAACUUUCACAAAAAUUAAAUCUCAUAGUUUUUUCAUGUAUAAUCAAAACAAUGCUUAAAUUUUGCAGAUAUUGUACAGUAACAUACAAAAAUUAAUUAAUUAAUUAAUUAAUUAAUUAAUUAAUUGAGACAGGGUUUCUCUGUGUAGUCCUGUUGUCCUGGAACUUGCUCUGUAAACCAGGGUGGUCUCAAACUCAGACAUCUAUCUGCCUCUGCCUCCCAACUGUUGGGAUUAAUUAUGUGGCCACCACCACCAGGAAAAACUAUUUUCUUUGAAAGAAAAAUCCAUGGCACAUGGCACCUGGCUGGUGUCAGACGGCAGGAGGAUCGUUGAAGGUGUGCAGUCAGGUUUAUACAGAGUUCCAGGCCAGCCAGGCUUUGUCAUGAGAACAAGGCACCCAAAGAACUAAUCUGCAGACCAUGCAGACAGCUCCUAGCAAUGUUAUUUUCAAACUAGGAAGACUGACUACAGAUGCCUAAGAACCAUCCUCCUGCAUUCUUAUAUAAAACACACUCAGUCCCUAAAGCCUUUGCCCUUUCACCUGUGUCUCUGAAGGAACAUCGUGACAACAGUCCUGAGAAGCCAUUCCUAUGCCUGGGACUGCAACCUUGGGUGUCCUCAUGGGAAGUUCACACGACCUUCAGUUUUAUAAUCGCUUCCCACAUGUUCAGUCUAUUCAGCAACUUGACAGAGGCAGAAGCAUGUCCAUUUCAGCUGCCCUUACACUAAAGGCAAUUAUUAGGCAAAAAACCUGAAGAGGUUCAGACUUUAAUUUUUUUAAAUGUAAUUUCAUCCCUCCUGUCCCUCCCCACACCUGAUCCCAAACUUCCCCAGUCCCCUCUCCAUCCCCCUCCCUCCCAGUCCCCUCCCUCCAUCUGCCUCUUAUGAAUAUUUUAUUCCCCCUUCUAAGUGAGAUUCAAGCAUCCUUGCUUGUGCCUGCCUUCUUGUUUAGUUUCUUUGGGUCUGUUGCGUGUACCAUGAAUAUCCUGUAUUUUAUGGCUAGGAUCCACUUAUAAAUGAGUACAUACCACACAUGUCCUUUUGGGACAAGGUUACUUCACUCAUGAUAAUAUUCCCAAGAUCCAUCCAUUUGCCUGCAAAAUUCAUAAUGCCUUUGUUUUUAAUAGCUGCAUGGGCAUUCUAUUGUAUAGGUACAGCACAUCAGUUGAGGGAAUCUAGGUUAUUUCCAGUUUCUGGCUAUUACGAAUAAAGCUGCUAUUAACAUAGUUGAGCAAGUGUCCUUGUGGGAUGGUGUCCAUGAGAAUGAAUGGAAAUAUACAACUGACGGGGGCCAGGGACAUCUCCAGGAUAAGGCAGAGACCUGGGAUAAGGGAGGCACCCAAGAAUCAAUGGGGGUAUCCUUAGCUAUGAUUCAAGCAUUGGGGAUAUGGAACCUGAAGGGCCACUUCCUAUGGUCAGGCAGGAACCCCAGUGGAGCAAUAGGGACACCAACCCAUCCACAUAAUUUUGACCCAACAUGUAUCCUGACUACAAAUAAUGCAGGGACGGGGAAUGGAGCAGAGACUGAGGGAAUGGUCAACCAGUAACUGGCCCAACUUGAGACCCAUCUUAUGGGUAAGCACUAAUCCCUGACUAUUAACGAUACUCUGUUAUGCUUGCAGACAGGAAUCUAGCAUGGCUGUCCUCUGAAAGGCUCCCCCUAGCAACUGACUCACACAAAUGCAGAUACCCACAGCCCAAAAACAGUAGAUGGAGCUUGGAGACUCUUAUGAAAGAAUAGGAGGAAGGAUUGUAAGCCUCCAAAAGGAUAGAAACUCUACAAGAAGACCAACAGUCAACUAACCUGGACCCUUGGGCUCUCAGAGACUAAACUACCAACCAAAUCACAUAUAUGGGCUGGACCUAGGCCUCCCCACAAAUAUGUAGCAGAUGUGCAGUUUGGUCUUCAUGUGGUUUCACCAACAACUGAGGCAAGGACUAUCCCAAAAGCUGUUGCUUGUAUGUGGGAUAUGUUCUUCUAGCUAGACUGCCUUGUCUGGCCUCAAUGGGAGAGUAUGCGCCUAUCCUUGCACAGAGUUGAUGUACCAGAGCAGGGAGAUAUGGGGGGGGGGUGUAAUCUGGUCAAAGAAGAAGAGGGGAAGAUGGGAGAAUGAUUGUGGGAGGGGUUAUGGGAAGGGGGCAAUGAGCAUGAUGUAAAGUGAAUAUGUAAAACAAAUAAAUGUAAUUUCAUGUGCAUAAGUGUUAUUUCUGCAUGUGUAUGUAUAUGCACCAUGUGUAUGCCUGGUGUCCUCAGAGAUCAGAAGAGAGAGUUGAACCUCUUGAAACUAGAGUGACAGAUGGUUGUGAGCUGCUAUGUGGAUGCUGGGAACCAAACCUGGGUCUUCUGCAAGAGCAGCAAGUGCUCUUAAUGCUGAGCCAUCUCCCCAGUCCCAAGCCUAAGACUUUUAAAAUAUUCUGCCUAGUAGCUUAAAGAGGUGCUUACAUAAACUAUAUCAUCCCCUCUUCACAGCUCAUGUUUCUAUGAGUAAAGGAACACUACUGUUCUCAUUUUAAAAAGCAGGAAACAAAUCCAGCUGGGCAGGUUUGCCCCUGGUGAAAGACGCAGAUCACUGGUGAUGCUAAGCCAGUUCCCGGACAUCUUUUUUAUCCUUUGCAACCUUGCUGUUUUACAAGUGACAAGGACAGCAAGUGGGCAAUGGGCUUGGACAGCCUUUGGACGUCACAGAUCUGGAACAACAGAAUCAAUUACCAUCUGUUCUCUCCGAAAGCAGAUCCCAACAGUAUGGUACACCGGACUGACACCAUCAUUUUAAUUAUCAACUAAAGUAUCAAACUUAUGUUUCUUAUACUUAAGCAUUUCCCCCACAGGGAGGGAAAAGAACAUUAAAUUCCACUCGUUCUACUCAUGGCCAGCCAGUGUUUAAAGCAGAAAUAUUUUAAUUGUUGAGCACAUUUAUAAAUGUCUAUAGGGUAUACCUUCAGAAAUGUGAACAGUUUCUAGUUGCAGAACACUUAAUCCUGGUAUAAGGCCAAAUUAAAAGAACAAGAGAAGGUGACCCCAAUGUUGGCAUUCUUCCUGUUAACAAUAGAGCAAACACUCAGAAGCUGUCCUAAAUCUCAGCUAACCCCCGAAAAAUCUAACUUGACAACUACACAACCAUAUUGCUGCUCUCACUCUAUAAUGCCUGUUUAUCUCAGUUGGUACUGUACAGAGCCUCUUUGGUCUUUUACACACACGCACCACACACACACACACACACACACACACACACACACACACACACACACACACACACAUGCCCCCACUUGUCUACCUCCCUUAAUGAGUCCUUCAUUCCAACUUUACUCUUCUGUAUCCAUCUUUAGCUGGGCUCUUUGUCACCUUCCAGACUCCUUCCUGAAGCUGCUACUUCAACUCCCACUUCAAGCUGCGGCUUCAUCAUCUUGAGCAUAAAGUGAUCUUUUUCCUCUGUCACCUUUCAAUCCCUCAUUAGCAGAGUGCAUGUCAGGUAGGCAUAGGUAGCUGGUUGACUGGCUGAGUUCACACUAAGCAGCACACUUCUGGGGAAUAACUGAUCUGUUUUAGACAGGCUAGGGAAGUUGUUGAGAAAAGACUAUGCUCACAUAUAUUUAAAGUGUGCAUCAUGAGCAAAGGAAUUCCUUGUGAGAGUGAGUCAGACCUAAGCAGUAGUCUUGCCAACUUAGAUAAGCAGAUUAUCACGCCGUAUGAAUAACAGCUCUGAAGACCUAAUCGACAGCAAACUCCUGGCAGUCACAUAGUUCAGCCUACCCUACCCCAACCCUGCACCCCCCUCACUUUUAGCUAUGAGUAAGCACCCUUGCCCGGGUCCUACAGCUCUCAAGAUAAAUUUCCUCCCUUGCUGUAGAGGAUUUCGGCUAUUGCUCUGUUUCCAUCUCUCCUCACUUCAUAAAGGAAGGAAGCCACGUCUAUUGUAUCAGAAAAGUGCCUACCUGGACCUCAGCUACCCAAUACCCACAGUGUUUAUAUCUAAAUGAAAAGAUAUCUUAUUAUUUUGGUCUCAUAGCAGUAUCCACUGGAAAAGAGGGCUUAAAUGUAGAAAUACUUAUAGAGAGAUAAAACAGCUUUCUUCUUUUUUCUGGUAAAUUCUUUCCUGCUUUCCAGUUGAUUAUUAAAAUAUGAAGCUUAGCUAAGAUGUAAAAUAUCUCAUAGAAUACAAUCAAUUAUAUAAACUGCUUUGGAUUUGCACUUUAAAUAUCUUGUUCUACCAUUGGAAUCAAGCCAAGGGGUAAAUGCUUCAAGUUCAGUUAUACUUUACUUGAUAAUGACAAUUCGGGCAUCUAUUAGGUCUUUGUAGCUUCUUAUUCACACAGCAUGAUAGCUAUCUAAAAUUAGCAAGACCGCUGCUACUAACCUUUAGGUCUGACUCAUUCCCACAAGGAAUUCCUUUAGUCAUAGCAGAGUUUAAAAUAUAUACAUUCUUUUUUCUGAGACAGGACUGGCAUUCAACUGGGUAUGUAGCCAAGGAUGUCUGUGGCCUUGCAUCCCCCUUCUGAGCACUGUGAUUUCAGAUCCUCAUCUCUAUGCCAUUUUAUGUGGUGCUGGGGACUGAGCCCAGGGCUGCAUGCUUGCUAGGCAAGCACUCCACAGACUGCACUAUACCCAGACCCUUAAGUAUAUUUUUAUUAUUUUUAAAUAUCCAUUUUCAGACUAGAGAGAUGACCUAGUGGUUAAGAGCACUGACUGUUCUUCCAGAGGUCUUAAGUUCAAUUCCCAGCAACCACAUGGUGGCUCACAACCAUCUGUAAUGGGAUUCGAUGCCCUCUUCUGGCACACAGGUGUACAUGUAGAUAGAGCACUCGUACAUAAAAAUUUUUUUAAAUCCCAUUUGCAUACCUUAGUGAGAAGCUGCACACAGUAGUCCUGUUGGGUUCUGGCAGUUUGGACAUGAUGAUGAGAUAGAUUAUAAUCACUGAUGCACACUCAGUCUAUUUUAUUUAAUUUACCUUAUUCAUAGUCUGUAUUUUAGCCAUUGAUAUGCAUAAGUAGAAUAGUACAAAUUACCAAUUUGUAUCCUAAAAACCACAAUCUUUUAGUUCUUUGAUCCUAUCUUCUACAAUUGAAUAGUAAGUAAUUUGAAAUGGGAAAAAAUUAUUAACUAUGAAUGAUUCCUGAACUUAUUUUACCAAAUCAAAUGUGUCAUUUGAGCCCCCAGCAGGGCUGUGAGUCAACACCACAGCAGUCCCUCCCUUGCUUACAGGGCAGGAGGUCUAACCUUAGCCUAGGAUAACCUAACCUAGGAUAGGCCUAAAAGCAGGAAUGACACUAAACCCUAUGUGUGCAACUUCUUCUUAUACAUACAACUAUAAUAAACAGUCCAAUUUGUUAUCUAGGCAGCGCAGAGAUAAAAUAUAAUAAUUAUACUGUAAUAAAAGUAAAAGGCUGAGAUGGUGGUGCACAUCUUUAGGUCUAGGCCUCAGAAGGCAGGCAGAUCUCCAUAGUUCAAGGCCAGCCUGGUCUACAGAUCAGGCUCCAGGUAAACCAGGACUGCACAGUGAGGCUCUGUCUCACACACAUGAGCAAUGGAAAUGUCAUCUCCCAAAAUGGUAUAUUGUAUAUCUUAGUAAGCUCCACAUAUUCACUUUUUUUCUUUCUUUUUAAGUCAAGAACUUCCAGGUUUUCAGUAACCUGAUAACUAAGAUAGAUACUAUGCGACUGUUGGCCAGGUAGCCCGUGCUGCCUAGACAUGAUGCAACCAGAGAUGCAGCUCAUCCUAGGCAGAUGCUGUGAGAGUCCAUUACACAACUCAAAGUUCCAAAUAUUGUUUUUGUAUGGCAGUUGAUUACAGGUAGCUAAAACUGGGUAAAGAAAAGCCACAGGUAAAGAGAAUGUUCAAGGAUUUUCCUGACAAGAAACUCAGGUUUGAGAAGUUCAGUGCCUUGCCUAAAUAUGCACAAUUAAUCCUAAGGCCAGGGGCAACUUCAGGUCGGUCUGACACCAAAAUCCACGCCCCCAUCACUGUGCUAGAUCGCUUUCACAUACUCAUGAAGACAUGCAUACAUCCAUGUAUGGCUAUGGCAAAGUGGGGAAACAGAGAUCAACAACCACAGUCAUUAGUAGCAAUUCCCAUUAUCUUACUUGAUGAGCAUUUCUAAAGAGGAAGCAAUGUAUUGGGGUGGACUGUGGAGGAGGAAAAUCAACAGAAACAAAGUUUGUUUGGAAAUGCCAUAAUAAAACCCAUAGCCUGGUGUGCUAGUUUAAAACCUCAAGGAAAGCAAUGCAUUCGCCUAUUGUUCAUCAACCUCUGUUGAACAUUUUACUACCAAAGACUGUUCAAAGACUCCUGUCUCUAUGAGGCUGACAUAAGGAUAUUUUUCCAGAAAGCACCAAGUUUCAAGGAAGUAGGAGAGAGUCACUAUAGAAUCUGUAACAAAAGCAAACGGCAAGCGUCAGUAGUGAGCUCCACUCAGGACGGGGCUGAUCUAAUCAUCUCUAGGUCAUAUAUGAGCUGCUGGUUCCUGGAGUACCGAGAACAUAGCGAAUCCGGUGACUACAUUAAAGCUUACACUAAUUAAAGCUCAGAUAUGGCGGUAAGCAGCCUUCAAAGUGCCUUAAUGAAAGCCCAAUUGCCUUAAAAAAAUGUGUCCAUACAAUAUUAAAUGUAUUGGGCUCAUCUUUGUUGUGAACUAGAUACUGGAUUAAAGAUAUUAUCUUCAUCAGGGCCAACAAGUGUGACUAAAUAAAUUUAACGAAGCUAUAAAUUAAAUACAGACCUAUGGCUUUUUACUUGACUCGAUCUUAAAUAGCUAUGUCUUUGCGAGCAUUGUUUCUCACCUCCACAAUAGAGUAAGAACUUUUACUCAAUAUGGGCUACUGAGGGGAUUAAACUGGAUAACGGGUUUGUAGUGCUUAGUUAGCAAAGACGCUGGUGUGUGGUAAGUCCUAAACCAUUUUCCCUGUUAAUCAAUGUUUCAUUUUUCCUAUUUAGCUAUGCUGUUUGCUUUCCUAUUUAGCAAUCUCUGUCUCUCUCCAUUUUUCCCUCCCUUCACCCUUCUCUCUCUUCUUCUCUCUGUCCUAGGCUUGUUUUCCCCAUCCCUCCAUGCCACAUCUCUUCCCCAACCUAAACAGAUCCUUGCUAUGUAGCUCAGGCUAGCCUUGAGCUCACAUGCCUACAUCAGUCUGGCCACAUGCUGGGAUUCUAAGAGUGUACCAGCAUGCCCCCAGCUCACUGCUAUUUCAAUCCAUAAUAUUGAUAACAGACUGCAUACAAUGCAGACUUAACUUUGGGAAACUACUAUAGUUUACACUUAUUUAGGAACAUAAGCAUUUUGUAGGAGAUUAAGAAAAAAAUCUAGAGUCAACAACAUGACCCGAGGGGAAAGGUGCUUGGGCCAACCCUGACGACCUGAGUUGCAUCCUCAGAACCUACAUGGGGAAAGACAAGACGAGCCUUCCUCUGACUUCCAGCAAUGGCAAUGGCAUCCAUGCCCCCCUCCAACACACAAAACAGAUACAAUUUAAAAUCUUUUUUAUAUAUAUAAGGAAAAGAAAACUCCAGUGUUUUGUCACAGUGUGAGUUUGAGACUGCUUGGGAGCCCUGAGUGUUAACUCGUUUGGAAAGUGGCAUGAUCUAUUUUUAGCAUGUUUCCCAUGCUGCUGGAAUGUAAAAAUCUCUCUAGCUUCUCAGUGAAUGUAUGCCAAAGAAAUCAGUAUUGAAUGUUUUAAAUCUAAAGAUGAAAAGAAAAUUCUAAAAGGGCAACUCUAGAAAUGCUAUUGUCUCCAGACGAAAUUUGUGAAAUCCUAAGACAUUUCUUAUCUUAAAAUAAAUAAUUGACAUUUAAAAACUAAGAUUCAGCCAGGCAGGGGUGGCAUAAUCCUUUAAUCCCAGCACUUGGGAGGCAAAAGCAGGUGAAUCUCUGAGUUCGAGGUGAGCCUGUAGCUCUGGUAGAGUCCUUGCCUAGAAUCAGAAGCUGGACACGGGAGCUCAUGUCUGCAAUCCUGCCAACUCAGGAGGCUGAAGCAGGAGGAUUGCAGCAAGUUUGAUAGUUAAUAAACAAAUGGCAAGGAGCAGGAGAGAUGAAGGAGAAGGAAAAGGGGAGCGAAAAAGAGAGAAGAAACCCUGACUAGUGUACAACAUGGAGAGACCUUGAGAACACAUGGAAACCUGGGAUAAAAAUUGCCUGAUUCAAUUUCUAUGGGAUAACUCAGGGCAUGAAAAAGCAAAUUUAUACAUAAGCAAAUCAAAGAGACGAGAGCCUGGGAGAACAGAGUGACCUUGUCUCAAAGCAAACAAACAAGCAAACAUAAAAGAAAAGGAAGAAAUCCUACUCUAUGCUGACAUGAUAAUCACAAAAGGUGUCUUGUCAUUAAGGGUAGAUGAAUGAUCUGGAUGUGACGGCACACACCUUUAGGGAGGCCGGCUGGCAGGAGAAUGUCUAUGAGUUCAUGGCCAGCCUGGUCUACAUAGUGAGUCCCAGACCAAUCAAGGGCUGCACAAAACAAAACUAACAUAAAAGAGUUGAUGAAUAAACUCAUUAUGAGAACACAACAUUAUAACUAACCCUACAAUGGAAAUUUUAGGUAAGAUUAGCCAAUGAUGUUCUAAAAGAAUCAAUUAAGUAUUGUUCAAUCAAGACUCAAAAGAAGUAUCAACUCCUCUAUUGCUGGUGGGAUUGCAAGCUUGUAUAACACUCUGGAAGUCAGUCUGCAGGUUCCUACCGGAAGAUCCAGCAAUACCUCUCCUGGGCAUAUACUCAGAAGUUCCAACUGGUAAUAAGAACACAUGCCCCACUAUGUUCAUAGCAGCCUUAUUUAUAAUAGCCAGAAGAUGGAAAGAACCCAGAUGUCCCUCAACAGAAGAAUGGAUAAAGAAAAUGUGAUACAUUUACACAAUGGAGUACUACUCUGCUAUUAAAAACAAUGAAUUUAUGAAAUUCUUGGACAAAUGGAUGUAUCUGGAGGAUAUCAUCCUUAGUGAGGUAACCCAAUCACAAAAGAAGUCAUUAGAUAUGCACUCACUGAUAAGUGGAUAUUAGCCCAGAAACAGAACACCCAAGACACAAUUUGCAAAACACAAGAAAAUCAAGAAGAGGGAAGACCAACAGGUAGAUACUUCAUUCCUCCUUAGAACAGAGAACAAAAUACCCAUGAAAGGAUUUACAGAGACAAAGUUUGGAGCUAAGACGAAAGGAUGGACUAUCCAGAGACUACCCCACCUGGGGAUCCAUCCCAUAAUCAGUCACCAAACCCAGACACUAUUGCAUAUGCCAGCAAGAUUUUUCUGAAAGGACCCUGGUAUAGCUGUCUCAUAUGAGGCUAUGCCAGUGCCUGGCAAAUACAGAAGUGGAUGCUCACAGUCAUCUAUAAGAUGGAACACAGGGCCCCCGAUGGAGAAGCUAGAAAAAGCAAGGAGCUGAAGGGGAUCUGCAACCCUAUAGGUGGAACAUCAAUAUGAACUAAUCAGUACCCCUAGAGCUCGUGUCUCUAGCUGCAUAUGUAGUAGAAGAUGGCCUAGUCGGCCAUCACUGGGAAGAGAGGCCCCUUGGUCUUGCAAACUUUAUAUGCCUCAGUACAGGGGAACGCCAGGGCCAGGAAGUGGGAGUGGGUGGGUAGGGAGCAGAGUGGGGGGAGGGUAUAGGGAACUUCCUGAAUAGCAUUUGAAAUGUAGAUAAAGAAAAUAUCUAAUUAAAAAAAAAAAGUAUCAAGGGGCUGCAAGGUGGCUCAGUGGGUAAAGGUGCUUGCUACCAAGCCUGAGGGCCUGGACCAAGUGUCAACACUGCCCUAGUAAAAGAUCAGCAUUUGAUUAAUAUUAAUAGAUUCUAAUAAGCAAAUUUUUUCAAAUAACUGAGGUUAACAAAAAAAAUCCUGGAAAAUAUUUAAAGAACUAGAACUGUUUUGCUUUUUUCCCCCUUCCCAGCUACUUUGAGAGGAGCAGCCUCCACCAUAUGCUAUCUCCAUUCCUGAGUGCUAACUCUACACGGCCUGGAAGCAACAGGGCCGAGAGACUGAAACCUCUAAAACUGGGAGCCAGCAGAAGCCUUCCCAAACUAGCAAGCAAGCAAGCAGAUAGAGGGACAGUGAGUGCUGACAGGGAUCUAACUCAUUUAAAGAGCUCCUAUCAGCCCAGUCCUUAAGUACUACUAGUAGAAUAUGUGUGACUUUUAUUAGUAAUCACUUCAAGAAUGAAAUCAUGGCAGGCUGUCAGAAAUUAUGUGGAUUUAGACAAAUCAAUGUAACAUUAUCACUAUAUGAUAAUUCUUCAAAGCAGUUCUAAAGCAAUACAAAUUUCCUCCAGAAAAAAAAAUCCUAUUCUGGCUGGGCAGCAGUGACCCACGCCUUUAAUCCCAGCAUUUGGGAAGCAGAGGCAGGUGGAUCUCUGAGUUCAAGGCCAGCCUGGACUACAGAGUGAGUUUCAGGGCAGCCAGGGCUAUGAAGAGAAACCCUAUCUCAAAAAAAAAAAAAAAAAAAAAAAAAUCUGUCUGCACAAAAGACCACAUCCCAUGAGACACAGAGCAGUCCAGUGUUUAGGCUGAAGGCUCCUUGUCAUAAUGUAUUUAAGGAUGUUACUGCAGUGUACUGUUCAGUUACAACAGUCUCAGCUAUAAUUUCUACUUAGCCCGCCUUUAAGAAGUUCAGAACAACAUCCACAUAUUAUUGCUCUUACUCACAUACCUAAUUAUAGUUAAUUUGAUAGACGAUGGCUUUUAUUUUCCAACUGAGAAUUCUAGAGUUAAAGGGAAGGAUUUACAUGGCUUACUUACCAACCCACUGGUCAGCUUUCAUCCCGCAGGAACCACAUGAGAGAGGCUAGAAAAUUACUACAUCUUAUGGAUCCCGUAAAUUUCUUCUUAAAAUAACCUGGACCACACAGGCCUACACAACUCACAAGUUUACCAUUCAUGUGUGAUUAUCAAGUUUCAGAAUGUAGGUCAGUCCAGUCCUGCCUCUGUUUUUAGGAAUGGACAUCUGCUUAGAAUCUAAUCACUCCAUAAAGCUAGGCAUGGUGGGGGACAGCCUGGGCUACAUAGCAAGACACCAUCUCAAAAGAGAGAGAAGGGGACUCUGUUCUCAUAGGGUCACACAUCGGAUGUUCUGCGCAACAGUGACAAUUUUGAGUUGUAGUACCUGUGGCUACUGUCCUACAGGCAAAGCCUGUACUAUUUACUGCUGGCUCUCUGUAGAAAGCCUGACAGGUCCUGACCUGUGUGAGGGCUGUCCUCAGAACAAGGCAGCACUGAGCCUAUGCAGUGGCCCUGAAAACAACUCACUGGGUAGAGCGCAUGACACACAAGACAGAUUCAGUAACACUGGGGAUGCGUCCCAGGUUACACUGCUUGCCUCCAAAUCCCGGUCUUUCCGAAGGAAAUCAUCCAGGGGCAUGAAUGCAGUGGGACCUGUAAUAAAUGCCUUCCAGGACUAUUACAAUAUGCAAGUAUGUAUGUGAAAAUACUAUACGAAUCCUUAUCAUUUCAAUAAUUGUUAUAUAUCCCAAUACAGGUUGGCCUGAUAUUCUCCUUUAUCCUUACACAAAUUUGAUGUCAGUAAUGCAUACAGCCACAUCUAACUUUACCUCAAAGCAAGAGCUUCCCAAUCGUACCUCCACCUUCUUCCAUCCAUUAGAAUGAUACUCCUUUUCUAGAAUCAACUUAAACUUUAUAUUUGAUUUUAUUUUUGAGAUGGGUUCUUGGUAUGUUGCCAAGGCUGGACUCAAACUCCUGAGUUCCAAUGAGUAAUUGGAGCUUCUCAAGUAGUCAGGACUCCAGGUGGGAAACAGCCAGCAAGCUUUCCAUUCUCUGCUGCCGCGGCAUUACACAACUCCAAAGACCUGACCUGAUGGGGCAGCGAGCGAGGGAAUAAAGAAAUGACAGACCCAGACACACAGACGUAGAAAAACCAGGAUCUGGAGGUCCCAGCUCCUGGAAAAGCUGCAGGACCCGGGAAGAUCAGAGUGUUUAUUAUAAACAGCUGACCCAGGAGGCAGGGUUCAUGGGUACAGCUGACCCGGGAGGCAGGGUUCAUGGGUACAGCUGACCAGGGUUUAGCUAAUAUCAGUAGGAGCAGUUUCUGUAAAGAAGCAGUGUUCGAGUCAUAACCACCCUGAAGAAGAGAGCCAUGGUGGACAGUUUCUGGCCACCACACUAUCAGCAGCCACACGUGGACCCUAGAAAGGUCACCCAGGGGUUAGGCUUUGCCACUUUGGGUCUGAGGUCCAAUUCCAUCCUUUAUAUGGCCACGCCCAUGCCGACAACACGACAAUAUGGCUCCAUUCAGGUCUCAGGGCUUCCCCGUCCCCCAGGGUCUGAUUUUCCAUCCAGUUCCCAUUGGUCCCUCCUACCCCUCCUUUGUUACUUAAAAUCCUGCUCAGCAUUCAGCCCAUUCUGCUUCCUGUUAUAGGGCUUCAAGCAUUUUAAUCCAAAAUGUGAAAAAUCAGUUUAUAUUAAAAACAAAUCAUGUGUGUAUGGGAGGGGACACUGAACUUGAUAAUGACAUUUCCAAAAAAACAUUUCUUGAUAAAAUAGCUAUUAUUUUUAAUUCUGUUAGCAAAAUACACUAUGGAGUUAAAAUAUACUGUCAGAUAAGUUUUAUUUGAAUCUCAAAAAAAAAUAUAUGGAGCACUUCACAGAGCUGCGUGUCAUUCUCUGCACAGGGGCCAUGCUAAUCUUUUCUCUGUGCUCCAAUUUUAGUAAAUGUGCUGCCAAGCAAGGACUCUUCUAUUCCAUGAUUCACUGAUCUAUUUCCAUUUCUAUUAUAUAUGUGGUUUUCUUUUUGGUGUUUUGAGACAGAGCCUCAGGUAUCCCAGGCUGGUCAUGAACUCUGUAGGUCAUUAUAACUAAGGAGGGCCUUCAACUCCUGAUCCUCACGUCCCCACCUCCCAAGUGCUAGAAUUACAGGCGCAUGUCAGUAUGCCCCACUCUGCAGUCUUACUUUAUAUGACUUAGGGACUUUUGAUGCAUGCAUAUACUCAUGACUAUGCUUUCUGUCCCACUAGAGCCCAUCAAAGUUCCUCAUAUGUAGUAACUAUCCCUGACUUGGACUGCCUGACGCUGUACACCUAGUUCUGCGCUGAGACCCAAUCUGCUGUUAUCAUAGCAAGCUAGGCUGGCUGCAGUACAUCUGUCCUCUUUCACAGGCAGGAGGAAUGAAAGCAAGGAACUCUUGUAAAUGAAGGAGACUUUUCCAUUUCUGUGAUGUUCAAUACUUCAUACGUGAGCUCCUUCUUUUUUGUGACUGUAAUUUUCCUUUAAAAGACUAAUAUUACGUCAGGUUUAUCAAUAUAACCUAUUCCCUCAUAUAAUCUUGAAGCCAAAUUGUUCACACUCAGAGCCCCUCAUAAAUAAACACAAUGUUCCAGUUGAGCUGUUGGCAGCAGAAUGUGUUCACAGUGAGGAACCUUCACUGUCUUGGCAGGAGUGACAGAAUUAGCUAAUUACAGUACAGUCUCCUAGAUCUGUUUUCAUUGGGAUAAGGGACAAUCUGGCGAUAUCAGAGAGCAAAUGAUCCAGAAAGACAUCUUAAGAUCCUUCCGCAAAGAUGGUAACCUCCUCCUAAGUCAUCUCAGGUUGGGCGUUUUUCCACAUAAAAUUUCCGUGAUGGUAAGAAACACUCCAGGUUGCUUUCAGGAGAAUGAGGCUUGAAAGCCCCACUGUACACUGUAGCCAGGAAAGGUUAUCUUGGAGAAUCUGAAAACCUUGGUUAGGGUCACUACUGCUGUGAUGAAUACCAUGACCAAAAGUGACUCAGAGAGGAAAGGGUUAAGUCCAUUGAGGGAAAACUGAAGCAAGAAGAUGUAGGGGAAAAAAAAAGAUAAGAAAUAAAAGGUAAAAACAGCCCCUACCAUAAAAGGGAUCAAAUUUUCUUUGGGAGAGAAAGAGUUAAACAGGAGACCAAGCAAAUGAACAUAUUUUAGAAGCCAUGUUCAGAAGCCUUUCUUUUGGGGAGCAGCUCAGAGGCUCAUGGGGAACCUGCUUAGUAUCAAAAAAUAAAGAAUUCAAAGAAAUUAAAAUUUUCAUUUCUCACUGGCUGAGUCACCAACUAUGAUGCAGGUCUAAGGCAAAUUGUUUUGGGCUUUAAGACUGAGCUGCAAGAAGCCAGGUGUGGUGGAGCAUGCAUGACCUUGAUCCCAGCACUCAGGAGGCGGAGGCAGGCAGUUCUCUGAGAUUUGAGGCCAGCCUGGGCUACACAACCCACGGCAGUCAGGGCUGCACAGAAACACCCUGUCUCAAAAAAAUCGAAAAUAAAACAAAACAGAACUUGAGCUACACAAGAGACGAGACACUUCUUUUUUUCAUGAUUUAUAGUCGGCUUGCUUCUAAAAAAAAAAAAAAAAAAAAGACAAGAGGAAACCUGCAGAAUAAAACAAUGUGUGCUAUUUAUAGUUAAGACAAAAAUGUAUCCCUCAAACAAUAUAAGAAAAAUCUGUCUACACUGAGGUAAGCUGGAGCAAAGAAUGUAAAACAGCUCAGUCUCCACCAUGUUCCUUCCACACAGUGCGGAUCUGUCAAGCACAGCUUUUGACACAGGCUCAAUCAUAGAGUUCUUGAACAGACUGCAUUAUAAAGUCCUUGUCUUAGGGAGCUCAGAGAGUCAAAAAUAAGACGGAAUUCUGAGACAUCCGCCCUGCCUUUAUUUCCUUACCUUUUAACAACAAAGGAUAAAAAUGCUAGUCCCUUUCUUGGUUUUGAAGGAGCUGUGUCUUUGUUUGUCUUUAGAUGUGAGGGCUUGUUACAUAGCCCAGGCUAGCCAUGGCAACCCUCCUUACUCAGCCUCCCAAGUACUAGUUAUUGCUAAGGAUACAAAUCACAAAAAUAAAAUUAUGCCAUUGGAUAGGUGGGUCCCAACCCCUGGGAGUUUGCAUAUCAGAUAUUUACUUUAUGAUUCAUGACAACAGCAAAAUUACAGUUAUGAAGUAACAACAAAAUAAUUUUAUGGUUGGGGUCACCACAUGAGGAACUGUAUUAAAGGGUUGCAGCACUAGGAAGGUUGAGAACCACUGCAUUCAAGGAUGCCCUGGUUAGGGUCACUACUGCUGUGAUGAAUACCAUGACCAAAAGUGACUCAGAGAGGAAAGGGUUAAGUCCAUUGAGGGAAAACUGAAGCAAGAAGCUGGGAUGGGAACCUGGAGGCAGGAGCUGAUGCAGAGGCCAUGACGGGUGCUGCUUACUGACUUGCUCCUCAUAGCUUACUCAACCUGCUUUCUUUCAAACCCCAGUACCACCAGCCUGAGGUGGCAGCACCCACAGUGACCUGUGCCCUUCCUCAUCAAUCACCAAUUAAGAAAAUGCCCUAUAAGAUUGCCUACAGCCCAAUUUUAUGAAAGCAUUUUCUCAAUUAAGGUUUCCUCAUUGUAGACAACUUUAGCUUAUGUCAAGUUGACAUAAAACAAACCAUGACAAGCAGGGCGUGGUGGCACAUGCCUUUAAUCCCAGCACUAGGGAGGCAGAGGCAGGUCGAUUUCGAGGCCAGCCUGGUCUACAAAGUGAGUUCCAGGACAGCCAGGGCUACAGAGAUACCUUGUCUCAAAAAACCAAAAAAAAAAAAAAAAAGACAGAAGGGCAGCGGGAACCCAUUCACUUUGUGCCUGCUAGUCAAUAAUCAAUCAAUAAUAUCUUAUAGAAACAGGUAAGGGGACAUUUGAGUCACAUUGAUACCUACAGUUUAAGACACCAGUUAGCAAUGUUUUCAUUUUUCUUCCCAAUUUAGUUCUGAUUGCACAGUGCAUGGAAAAUAAUAGACUUUGAACAUGGAAAACAACCCAGACCAAGAUCACCAUUUCUGACACUGUAAUGCAAAAGAUGAAUUUAAAUUUUCUAUUUUAAAAGACAGACUCCCAAUUACGUUAUUAUAGAUAUUUAAGUCUUCCAAUUUUCUCCCUAGUGAAUCAACUAUAAAUACAGCUAUAAACUAUAAAUAUUCCAAGCCAAGCCAAUAGAGCACUAGUUUAUCUGAAAAAAAAAAUGCCAAGAUUAAGUCUCCUAAAGUUCUAGCAAAAAUGUGAAAAAUAUUCUCAAGAUAAAGUAUCAACAAAUUCACUAUCAAAAUCACAAAAAGGAGGUUGGCAUACUGGUUGACCCUUUAAUGUCAGUUAUUUGGGUGGUUGAGGCAGGAGGAUCAUUGCAAGUUGAAUUAGUUGAGAUUAGUCUAAGCUAUAUAUUGACUUUCAGGCCAGCCUGUGACACAGUAUGAACCCUAUCCAGAAAGAAAAAGAAAAACACAAUAUGGCUGAAAAGGCGACUCCUGAGUUCUCAAGACCCAUGCGGUUCACAGUCUCUUGUAAUUCCUACUUCCUGGACACCUCCACUCAUGUGCAUAUACCCACACAUAUACCCGCCAUUUAAGAAAUAAGGCAAAUUCUUUAAAACAACCACAACAAACCAACUGUGGUCUUCCUGUUUGGGACCAAGAAUUCCUCCCAAAAGCCAACCAAGUUACACUCUUUGAAUUUACUCUGCCUGUAAAAUGCACAGGCACUGAAGGUGUGCUUAGUGUGACACACAAGGGUGUGGUCAAUACCAUCCAGAGAAUCUCCUUAGGUGGGCUUCGAGAACAAAGAUAGCUUUGCUGGGGUGGUAACUCAGCGCCUAGGGGACAUUUGCCUAGCACGUGUGAGAACUACGGUACUCUGAGAACAGAGAGCGAUGUAGUAGCAAGUCAGCAGACGGUCCUCACUGCCGGCGUGGCUCCAGCUGUAACAUCCCAAACCAACAGCUGAGGCUCUUUUAAUGUAUUCAAAACUUUCUUUUUUUUUUCUCUGGUCUGAAUAAAAUUGGACUAUGAGUUUUCUACAGAAAGUAACAUUUUGGGCUUUCUUUUUAUAAAGCAAUUCCUGCUUAUUUGUAUAGUUAAUUUUAAUCACCUUUAAAAAGUUAGCCCUUUAUGUUAAAUAAGUUGCAAAAACUUAAAGUGUUUGGUUAGAUGAAGUAUAAAAGUACUACUUCCACCAAUCCUGUGUGUCUCCUCUCUCCUUCUGUCCUGGAAGGUGCCAGGUAAAUUGACCCAUUUAACAGAAAUUCUGCCUGUUUGGUAUGAACGAUUCAUCUUGCUUUGACCAAGCAUGCCCACAUAAAUAGCCAAAGCAUCAUCUUUAAAUCACUGGCAAUAUCACCAGAAAUAAUUAUCUUUACAUUUACUAAUUAAUAUAAAGUACAGACUAAUUAACAUAAACACAUAAAAUAGACUUGUUUAUUUUUAAGUCUAAUUAUUAGUUUUUGACUGGUUCAAUUAAUUAAUUGAAGUAAAUUUUAAAUUAGUACUUUUUUAUCUUUAGUUUUAUUGUUAAAGCAUGCCGUAUGUAGAUUUUUGUAACAAGCACUUGCCAUAUACCAGGCUUUGCGUAGAUGCUUUGCGUAGAAAUCACUUAAUGCUCCUGCUAACCUGACCUUCUUAUUCAUAGAUGAGGAAAUAGAGGCUUAAAGAAGUCAGCUCCCUGCCCACGGCAGCACAGAGCAGAGCUGGCAAAUCUGCAGAUUAGGAUCUUCGAGUCUGCUCAUGCUUAGUCCUCUUACUCAUAAUAAUUCCACUAUAGUGGUUCCUAAGACGACAUCAUAUCCCAUUCUAUUCAUAUAUGUUCAUAAAAUAUGGUACAGUUUUAACAGAGACGUUUCCUACAUGCAUAUCAUGUACCUUGAGCAUACCCCCACUUCCUACCUUUCCCUCUCCCUUCUUCCCAAUAUUUUUUUUUGAUGGAUACGGAAAUACAGAGGAAAUUCUGAAGAGGCGAAGGCUGGGAACACUAGAUACAUAUUCCGAAGCAUGGUUGGUGGCUGAAAUCUGUACUCCAAUUCUUAGGUACAGAUAGUUGUAACCACAGUUCUAGAGUAUCCAAUGCCCUUCCUUGGCCUCCACAGGCCUGUGCAUGCAUGUGAUCCAAACAAACUCAUGAACACACACACACAAUCAUUUAAAAAAAAACUCAAAGUAAACAUAUAAAUAACACCAGACACAUACAAUCUCUCUGAAAGAGUGCAGGAUGCUAGGAACAGAGUCAAGAGGGUCAAGUGAGGACAGCAUGGGACACGUGAGAAAAGAGAGGGUGGGGGAAAGAAGGGAGAGAGGUGGGGAGGGAAGGAGAGAGGAAGGAAGAAAAACAUCAGUAAUAGCUUUGUUUUUAGAUUUAUUGAUUGAUUUUAUGUAUAUGAAUACACUGUCGCUGUAUUGGUGACAUUGGAUCCCAUUACAGAUGGUUGUAAACAACCACAUGUUUGCUGUGAAUUGUACUCAGGACCUCUGGAAGAGCAGUCAGUGCUCUUAACCACUGAGCCAUCUUCCAGCCCCCAGUAAUAGCUUUUUAAAAGCCAUUUCUCAAAAAUGCAGGGACAAAAAUAAAGCAGAGACUAAAGGAAAGGCCAUCCAGUGACCAGCCAACUUGGAUUCCAUUCCGUGGGUGGGCACCAAACCCUGACACUUUUACUGAUGCCAUGUUGUGCUUGCAGACAGGAGCCUAGCAUGGCUGUCCUGAGAGGCUCUACCAGCAGCUGACUGAGACAGAUGCAGAUGCUUUUAGCUAAACAUUGGACUGAAGUCAGGAUUCCAAUUGAGGAGUUAGGGAAAGGAUCGAAGGAGCUGAAGGGGAAGGAAACUCUAUCGGAAGACCAACAGUCUCAACUAACCUGGACCCCUCAGAGCACCCAGAGACUAAACCACCAACCAAAGAGCAUACAUGAGCUGGUCUGUGGUCCCUGGCACAUAUGUAGCAGAGGACUGCCUUGUCUGGUCUCAGUGAGAGAGGAUGCACCUAAUCCUGUAGAGACUUGAUGCCCCAGGGAAGGAGGAUGCGGCGGGCGGGGGGGGGGGGGGGGAGGUUGAGGUGGGUGUGGGUGUGUGGUGAGUAGAUAAGGGGGAACCCUCUCAGAGCUAAGGGAGGGGGCAUGGGGUGAAGAACUCUGAGAGGAAGGACUGGGAAGGGGGACCACAUUUGGAAUGUAAAUAAAUAAAAUAAUUUAAUAAAAAAGUAAUUUCUCAGCUGGAGAGAUGGCUCAGCAGUUAAGAGCACUGACUGCUCUUUCAGAGGUCCUGAGUUCAAUUCCCAGCAACCACAUGGUGGCUCACAACCAUCUGUAAUGCGAUUUCAUGCCUUCUUCUGGUGUCUCUGAAGACAGCUACAGUGUACUCAUCAUUCAUAUAUAUAUAUAUGUAUAUAUAUAUAAUAAAAUAAAAUAUUUUUUUAAAAAGUAAUUUCUUGUAAAAAUAAAUCAGUUCUUGUGAUAAACUACCUGCACCCUUCUGCUCAUGCAGUCAGAAACAUGCUCCUUACCCAGAAAUCUAGCAACUCCACACAGAGAGGUGCCGUCUUUCUCCCUGCUUUAGUUUCAUAGGGCUAUAGAACCAUGGGGAACUGGACAGAGUUGUCCCACAGUCACUUAGUGGUGAGAACAUAUGAAUCCUGCUUUUAAUAUUUUUAAUUGCGUGUAUAUGCACAUAACUGUCAGCUCCUAUAGGGAGGACCAAGGCAUCAGAUCCCCUUGGAUCUGGACUUACAGGUGAUGUAGGUGCUACGAACAGAAUUUGAGUCCCCUGGAAAAGAAGCAAGUGCCCCUAGCCCCUGUCCCUAGCUCCUGUCUCUUGCUUGACAAAUUGGGCUUAUUUUACAAGAACAAUUUUUCAGGGUUGAUAUAAUAAUUUAUCAGAACAGUCCAAACCUCACUAAUACAAUACCAGGGCUGGGCAUGCUGGUGCCCACCUAUAAUCACAACUCUGGUGGCUGAGGCAGAAGAAUCAUCCAAUAUGGGCUACACACUGAGACUUGUCUUACAGAGACAAAAACAGUUUACCAGUGCUAGUCUGGGUUCAUACUGAAAUAAAUCACAUGAGGCUUAAACUGAGACAACAAGACCAGGUUGCCGGCCGGUGGUGGCGCACACCUUUAAUCCCAGCACUCGGGAGGCAGAGGCAGAUGGAUUUCUGAGGCCAGCCUGGUCUACAAAGUGAGUUCCAGGACAGCCAGGACCACACAGAGAAACCCUGUCUCAAAAACAAACAAACAAACAAACAAAAAACAAAACAAACAAAAAAGAAGAAGAAGGAGGAGAAGAAGAACACCAGGUGAAGACCAAGCUGGGAUACACCACAAAUUCCACGCUUCCACGGGCUACAGAGUAAGACCGUGUCUGUGAAUCAGGGGAAAGGGAAACCACACAGCUUUAGGCUUGCUUCCUUUAUACCAAAGGUUAAAUUUUUUUCAGACCUUUAAAGACUGAAAAUGAUACAGAAUAGUUUCCAAGGCUACACCAGGAAGCUGCAUCUUCACUAGUUCAGAAUAUUUUCCGGCAAUUCUAUCAGUAAACACAUAGUCUGUUUAUCUUUGUACAGAUAAUGGCAUCAUUAAGGGAUGAUGGCAAGGAUCUGAGGACACAGCUCAGUGACAAGGGACGUGCUCAGUAUGCCAGAGGCCUUGGGUCCAUCCUCAACACCGCAAAACAGCAGCACCAAGAAACUGGCAAGACGCUUCUGUACUGGGGUUCACCUCAAAAAAUUAUCAUGUCUGAUCAAAGUGUUUGGAGCUUGGACAAAGGAAAUGGCAAAGCUGGGUGCUGGGGCCAUACCAGCCAUCCAGCUUCUGGGAGGCUGACAGAGAGUGAUCCUCCAGCUUUGGAGGUCAAGGCUAUCCUCCCAGCAAAGCAAGACCUUGCCUCCAAGGAGAAAUGAUGGUGAUAAAGUGAAAGUAGAUAGAUUCAACAUUUUUAUUAUAAUAAGGAAUCUAAUGAGUCAUUACAUACAAGAUGAAAAGCUAAUCUUUUGUGGCUUUUUGAGACAGGGUUUCUUUGUAUAACAAUUCUGGCUCUUUUUUUCUGUCUUUUGUUUUUUUUGGGGGGGUGGGAAGGGUGUGUAUGUGGUUUUUUUUGGUUUGGUUUGGUUUUUUUGAGACACGGUUUCUUUGGGUAUCCCUGGCUAUCCUAGAUCUGUAGACCAGGCUUUGUAGACCAGGCUGGCCUCAAACUCCCAGAGAUUCACCUGCCUCUGUUUCCCACAGAAGCUACUUUUACACACUCGAAAUGCACCAUCCUCUCCUUACCAUCUCCAUGAUUAUAUAAAAGAAUGAGCGACUAUGUAUACUACUUCCUAAAGCACAACAAGAGAAUAAACAGGUCUGGGGAGAUGGUCCAGCUGGCUUGCUACGUAAGCAUGAGGACCUGAGUGCAUCCCCAGCACCUAUGAAGUGCUGGGUACAAUGGUGCACACAUGUGACCCCAGUGUUCUGGAUACAACAUGGUCCCUGGGGCUUGCUGGUCAGCUUCUCUAGCAAACAGCAAGCACCACGUUUAGUGAUAAACCCUGUUUUUGAAAUAUAGCUGGAUAAGCUGUUGAGGAAGAUGAGACAUCCUGACGUUGACCUCUGACCUCAAUAUGCCUCAAUAUGUGUGUGUGCAUACUAAUUAACAUGCAUACACAUGAAUACGUGAUCAUGCAGAGAGGAGAGAGAGAAAGAGAGAGAGAGAGAGAGGUCAGAAAGUGUAGCCCAUCAUCUGUUGGUGUAUUACUUAACCCUAAGUCCUCUUGGCCAGGAGAAAGGGGAGAGAGAGCUAGUGCAGGGUUAUUGAUGUGACCUCUACCCCUCUGUGUAGUUUUACUUGUACAGGUUGCUGCUAAACAGUCGUUAUCACCCAAAGGGAGAUUUGUCUUUAGAAACUUUAGUGGACAGAGGUUCUCCUGGGAUUUAGGAAGCACAGGACAAGGAUGCAGCUAAACAUAUGAUUGUGCCACAAUAAAGUAAUGACAGUGUCCUAAAUACCAACAGCAUCCAGACUAGAGACCCAAAAUGGAGGCACACAUAAAGCAUGUCAGCUUCAUGUGACAUUUUUCACGACAUACAUACGUACAUACAUACACUAAUCCUAUUUUAUAUCUUAGGCAUAUAUGCUGAACUCAAAUUUGGAAUCCUGCCUCUCAUCCUCUUUGCCUACUGCCAUGCACCAUCAUGGCCACCCCAAAAUAUAUAAGAAAUUCAUCCAAAUCAACAGCAAAAUCCCAACCAUCCUAUUAAAAAUGGGCAGAGGACUUAAUAGACAUUUCUAAAGAAGGCAUACAAAUGGCCAACAGGAAUAUGCAAGGGUGUUCAAACACCAUUAGCCAGGUAAAAGAUAAGAGAUAAGUGUUGUUCAGGUUGUGGACUAGGCAAGAAUCUUUAUGUAAGGCUGGAGGAAAUGUAAAUUGGCAAAGCCAUUAUGGAAAAUGGUAUACUCCCAGCAGUAUAGAGAUUCCUCCAUUGAUUUUAAAUUAAAAAUAGAGCUAUCAUAUGAUCGAUCCAGCAAUCCCACUUCUGGGUGCACAGCCAAAAAAAAUGAAGUCUACAUCUCGUGUAGAUAUUUGAGUUCCCAUGUUGACUGCAGCAUAUUUACAACAGCCAGAUAUGAAGAGAACUGUCCACUGGACAAACAAAGAAACAUGGGGGAUAUCACCAGAUAACAUCCAGCUUUUGAAAAGAAGUAUAUCCUGUUAUUUGAUGCCAAAGGGAUGAAGCUUGAGGACAUUGCCCAGAAAAACAAAUAUCAUCAGCUUACAUUAAACAUGCGGGCUUUUUAUUGUCAGUUCCCUCAAAGACACGGUCUAGCAACUAUUUAUAUGACAUUUGCUUGUGUCGUUAUUAAAAGUCAUUUAAAGAUGAUUUAAAGUAUUUAAGAAGAUAAACAGAGGUUGUGUAAAUUCUUUAAAACAUCUUUGUUGUGGAGGAGGAGACAAUGUCUCAGAGUCUGUUCCUCCUUCCAGUGUGGGCUCAGGUCAUCAGGCCUGUGCAGCAAGUGCUUCUACCCCCUGAACCAUCUUUGCCAGCCCUCUGGGUGCAAAUUCUACACCUUAUAUGAGCAAUUGGAACAUCCUUGGAUCUUAGCAUCCACGGUGAGCCUUAGAACUCAUCUACUGUGGGUACUGAGGCUGGAGAGUGGAUGUUCUAAUCGCUUCCCAUGUAGAACCUAAAAUUACCAAGCUCGUGGAAACCAUGGAAUGGUGAUAACCAGGAGCUGGGAGAAUGGCCAAGAGAAGGUAUGGGUGGAAAGUUGUCUUAGAAGGGGAUGAGAGAGCUCAAAGCAUAGACACCUGCUCUCAAGUCUGAAGACGGAGUUCAAUUCCGCUUAGGUGGAAGGAGAGAACCAACUCCUGCAAAUCGUCCUCAGCUCUCCACAUGUGCCCUGUGGCAUGAACACGGCUGUACUCACAGACAUACAAACAUAUAUACAAGGACAAAUAUCAUACACACAUGCACCAAACAUACAGAGGAAGAUAAAAGUUAACUUAAAAAAUUUAAAGAUAUUCUACAACAAAAUAAAGUAAUUAAAAUGCAGUCUAUAAGGCUGGGACAUAGAGCGCCAGUCUCAACUGCACAAAGCCCUGGGUUUAAUCACCAAUGCCAUGGAAACCAGGUGUGAUGCUGAGCACCUGUAUCCUUACUCAGGAGGCAGGGGCGAAAAAUCUAAAGUUCCAGGUCUAGCCUUGGAAACAAUGGCCCCCACCCCCUCCAAGAAAGAGGAAAAAAUAAAAUCAUAAUGCUCACAUAUGAAAACAAAGACAUAAGUAGGGGUACAAAAAAGCUGGGGUUGGGGUGCAGAAGAGAAAGAUAAUGAAAUAAAUCAAGCAAUCAGUGACAUGGAAUCAAUCAAAUAGAAAAGUAACAAUACCAAAAGUUGGCGCUUCAAAAAGAUCAACUGAAUAAAGUUGACAAAAUCCAUAACAUCCGGAGAGACUAAAAGAAGAAAAACGUGAGAACGGGGGCUGCAGCUCAGCAGGUAGGAUGCUCACAGUGGCAGUUUGGAUGAAAAUGGCCCCCCUGGUCCAUAUGUUUGACUGUUUGGUCCCAGUUAAUAGAACUGUUAGAGAAAGGUUAGGAGGUGUGGCCUUUUAAGAAGAGGUGUGUCAUGGUGGUGGUGGUGGGAUAUUGAGGUUUCGAAAUCCAAUGCCAGGCCCAGUGUCUGUCUGUCUGCUAGGAUUACAGGUGUGUGCCAUCAUGCCGAGGUAUGCAGUGCUGAGGUCAAGCCCAGGGCUCCAUCUGUGUUAAACACACACUUUACUACUGAUCUGCAUCCCCAGCCCUAGAAUCUUAGAGAUUUGUUUUUGUUUUUGUUUGUUUAUUUGUUUUAUGUUUUUUUGAUUUUCAAGACAGGAUUUCUCUGUGUAGCCUUGGCUGUCCUGGGACUCACUCUGUAGACCAGGCUGGCCUGGAACUCAGAGAUCUGCCUGCCUCUGCCUCCCAAGUGCUGGGAUUAAAAGUGUGCGCCACCACUACCCGGCUAAGAGUUGACAUAGCAAUAGAUCAGCAAAUAAAACACUCAUCUGGGAUUCAUGGAAAAUGAUAGCAGCAGGAUUCAGGGCUCAAAGUCAUCGUCAACUGCCUAACAUGGUGAAGGCUGCCUUGAGCUACGUAAGAUUCUGUCACACACACACUCACCACACAUAGGGCCUAGAGAGAGGGCUCACCAGUUACAGCUCUUGCAGAAAACUUGAGUUCAGUUCCGAGCACUCACAUCAAGCCACAAGUGCCUGUAGCUCUUGUUCCAGGGGUUAAUUGCUAAAUUUCUUUCUCUUGGGGAGAUGAUAUAAGCCCCUAAUAACAAACCAAGAUACAGUACCACCAAAGUUCACCCUAGGCAUCAGUGAGUUUUUUAUUGAGCUUACUUACACAGCACAGGUGAAGGGUUCCUUCAGGAGUUUGGGUCUUCACCCUCUCACAAGACCACACUGGACAUUGUUCACCCAGUGGGGAAGAUUGAUUUCCUAUAGCUUCACAGAUGAGGCCACCCUCUCGUAGUCUUCCCUGGCCUGUAUUCUCUAUUCUAUCCCCCAGGCCACAUGCAAUUAGGGUAGAAUUGCAUCCAAAAGGUAGUUUAGAGUGGCUGGAUACUCAGGUGAGAGUCUCAUGACCCUCCCUGUCCCUCCUUCUACUACAAGGGGAUGCCAGUCCUCGGGUCCAGCUGGGAUGAUCGUUUGUAAGUGGGCACAGCUGAAUUCCUGCAGGUGAGGUUGUUUGGCAGGAGAACAGUCCUGUUCAAGAGUCUGACGCCCUCUUCUGGCCUCUGAGCACACCUGCACACGUGAGCACAUACUGUACACAGACAUACAUAAUUAUAAAAUAAAGUCUUUAGGGGCUGGAGAGCUGGCUCAGCAGCUAAAAGCACUGACCACUCUACCAGUGGACCUGGGCUCCAUUCCCAGCACCCACAUGGUGGCUCUGCCUGUAACAUCCAUUUCAAAGAAUCGGAUGCCCUCUCUGGCCUCGAUGGCACUGAGCAUGCACGGGACAUACAAACAUACAUGAAAGUAAAACACCUAUACACAUAACAUCCUUUAAGAUAUAUAAAUAAAUAAAACACUAACAUAUGAAUCUAGCAGCAUAAAAAAUGAUAAUAUAUCAUCUAAUGGGGCUUACUUGAGGAAUUCAUAAUGAAAAAACAAUAUUCUUUACUUUUCUCCUCAGUCCUGAGAUUGAAACCUAAGCCUCGUGCAUGCUGGGCAAGCAUUCUGUGUCUGAGUUACAUCCCAGAACCUGCCAAUCACCAUAGUAACAGAACAAAGGGCAAGAACAUACCAAGACCCAAAAAGGUACAUAAGAAACAUUCAACAGAGCUCAACACACAUGCACUACAUACAUUCUGCGAAAGUGGAAGCAGAAUGAAACUUCAGCCUAAUAAAGGACAGAGAGAAACAGUAACAAGAAAUUGGAGCAGAAACAAAUGGAACCUUCUUUAAAGUGUCCUUUAGAAGAAGAAACCUGAUCAACUAAGACCAGAUGAAAAAGACCAAGAGCAGUGAGUGAAUGUGUCUGACCUGCCUCAUGAUUCCAUCAUGAAAGACCAAACAGGCUCCUUACAUCUAGAAAACAAAUGGCCCCUGUCACCACUAAUCUUGGGGAAAUAGUCUAACCCUUGGGAUGAAGAUCAAGGGAAGAGUUCAUGGGGUGUGAUGAGCUAGAAGACUGGAAAAACAGAAAUGAGAACAAGGGUUUGUACAGAGAAUUGGCAUUUUCAUGGUUUAAAGAAAACUGUUAUUCCUAUAUGCAGCAAAACCUAUUCUUAAAAACCAUUAAAUUUCAAAAUUACAAUUUCUUUUUUAAGUUCGGGCUUAUUGUUAUGAUGUCUUUGUCGUCAUAAAUACAUAUAUUAAUUCUACAAUUGAAAGAGCUACUAACACCUGAACUGAAUUAACUUAAUACAUCAUAUGUAAAUCAGACAUCUAAAUUAAAAAUUUAUAUUGUUGUGUUUAUUCUGUUUAAAAUAGUAACAUUUUCUUUUUCAAAAAGUUUUAAAGAUUCUCAAUCAAGAUUUAAUGUUAAUUCAGCUUGUAAGGAGAUGUGAGUAUCAGCUUGUAAGGGGAUUGUAAGGGGAUGUGGGUCCUGGGAAGAAGAGCUGGGUCCUCUGUAAGAACAGUGCUCUCUUGGUUUCACUUGGUUUUGAGACAGAGUCUCACUAUGUAGCUUUGACUGGCCUGGAACUCACUAUGUAGACCACACUGGCCUCAAACUCACUGCUACCUGCCUGCUUCAAGAGCUGGGACUAAAGGCAUACCCCACCUUGUCUGGGGCAGUAUUCACUCUUAACAACUAAGCAAUUUCUCAAACUCCUUCCCCCUCUUUUAAAGAUUUUUUAAAAUUUAAAUAAUGAUUGAUUUUAUAUGGGCCUUUUGCCUGCAUGUAUGUAUGUGUACCACAUGUGUGCCCUGUGUUGUGUUAGAGGAGGUCACAAGAAGAAAUGGAGUUACAGAGGUAAGCUGCUGUGUGAGUGCUGCAAAUUGAACCCAGGGCCUCUGCAAGAACAGAACUGCUCCUAACCACUGAGCCAUCUCUCCCGCACCAUGACUUUUUAAAAGGAAAUAUUUAUCUAUUUUGUGCUAAGAGGGGUGCCAGGCAUGCCCCAGGAUGCACAGGAAGGUCAGAAGACAACUUGUGGGGGUCCAGGGAAGGACGUUAGGCUUCAUGGUGAGAGACUAUCCACUGAGCCAGCUCACUGGUUCUCAAAAUUGUACAACUUGUACACUUAAGACAUCUAGAAGUUUAGUUUACAUCUAGGUGUUAAAGAAUCCAAAUUGAUUUUCCAUUUUCUUUUUUGAGACAGGGUUUCAUAAUGUAGCCCAGGCUGGCCCUGAGUCGGUGCUGGUAUCGUGGGCUCGCACCACCACAUGUGCCCGUAAGCUUUUACUGAAGCAUGCAUUCACCCAUUGAGUGAAAUGUCUGCAUUGGUUGUGUGCUCUCUAGACCCUGUGGAAUGUCAAAUGCUACACAAAUGGGAAUGUGAUACAUUAUUAGUCCAUGGACUCCAAGAGUAGUAAGUUACUAAAUCUUUGGAGAAAAAUCAGUUUUUAGAGUUUUUAAACCUGGGUCUCAUCUGCCCUAGAUUUGUUAGGUUGUUAGAAAGCAUGCCAAGUAGGCAAGAGUUAUCUUGAACUCCUGGUCCUGUUGCUUCCAACCUCCUGAGUGUUGGGCUCUCGGGUGUGUACCACCACACUCAGUUUGCACAGUGUUGGGGGUGGAGCCUAGGAAGUCAUGAAUGCUAGGCAAGUACUCUUCCAACCGAAGUGCUGCCCCAGUCCCUAGACUCCCAUCAAAAAAAUAAAAUAAAAUCGGGAGCUGGGAAUUGGUAGUGAACACCUUUAAUCCCAGCACUCAGGAGGCAGAGGCAUGCUGAGUUGAAGGCCAACCUGGUCUACAGAGCAAGCUCCAGGACAACCAGGGCUACACAGAGAGACCCUGCCAUCUUGUCAUAUACUAGUGACUUUGAGCAAUGCUUCAAACUUUUCUGAGCCUGGGAUUUCUUAUCUAAUUGAAUUUAUGUGAGAAUUAAAAUAUACACAAAAACCUCUUCUGAAUGCUGUCUGGGUCACAGUCAAAGGACAGCAUCAGUUGCUAGGUACAUUAAAUGGUACAAAAUUUCUUUCUCCCAGAAUUGUCAAAAUCAAAAUGACAUACCUAGUCUCUACUUACUUUCAAUGUUUCCAAAAAAUGUUCCUAGAAAUUUAUCUAAGGAAAUUAUCUAAUGAAAGAUGACUAGCUUAGGUGAAAAAGAUGAAACUUGCAAAAUUUUUUAGAUUAAAAAAAUAGAGUAAACUCCAAUUUUUAAAAUAUGGGACUGAUUAAUCAAAUUCUGUAUAAUCUACAAGUGGAGCAUUACACAACAUAUUAUUCAAAUGAAAAGGAUAAGAUAUGUAAUACAGAAUAAUUACAAUUCUGUAAUAUUCAAAUCUAUUGGAAAAUGACUGAACGAGGAAUCACAAAAUGAAACUGUCCAGAGGAGCAGGAUUACACACAGCUGUUCCUGCUUUGUCCCUAGUUUUAUAAUAAAAUAUAAUUUUUAAUGAGAAUUAAAAAGUUGCACUGUUUCUUUAAAAAUAUGUCAGGACAAUUGGACGAGAGAAAGAACAAUGUUUUCAAAGUGUCUUGCUAUGACAACUGGAUAUCCACAUGCAAAGUAUGGGUCCCACUCCCAGCGUACACACAAAUGAUCUCAAAUGCGUCAUGGACUCAAGCACUAAAGCUGCAAAACUCUUAGAAAACAGAGAAGUCUGUGGAUUUGAGCUCAAGCAACAUCAAAGGCACAAGAGACAGGAGAAAAACCAUAUAAAUUGGAUUAAAUCAAAUCCAAUGUCAGGCGUGAGGGGACAGCCCUGAGGCCUGGCAAUGAAGUAAGGUGGAGACUGGAAGCUGGAAUUCCGCAAUUCAGAAGAGCUGGGGCAGCAGCACUCAUGAGGCCUAUUCUCAGGAAAUGGAUCUCUACCCGACCCAACAGAAUGAAACCCGGGUGUUGUAAAUAUACCAUCAGGAAAGUGCAGGUAGGACAUGUGAGUCGACUCAGCAGUAAGGGGGCUUGCUGCCAAGACUGAGCGUCUGAGUUCGGAUUCCCACAAGUUAUUCUCUGACCUCCAUAGGUGUCCUGUAGCAUGCACACCUCCACCACAAACUAAAUAAAUGAAUGUGGGGUGAGGCAAAGGAUGUAACCGGGGAAAGCCCUUAACUGUGGGUUUGAUUUCCAGCAUCACAAAACAGGGAGAGAAGCAGGCAGUAAGGCACUUAUUAUGCAAGUGUUGGGUCCCUUGAAGCUGGGGUUGCAGACACUCUGGCGUGGGUGCUGGGAACAUAACUCAGGUCCUCUGGAAGAGCAGUAAUUGCUCUUAACCUAACCGCUGAGCCAUAUUUCCAGGCCCCUCCCACAUUUUAAAAAAGAUUUAUUUAUUUAUUUUAUGUAUAUGAGUACACUGUAGCAUCUUCAGACACAUCAGAAUAGGGCAUUGGAUCCCAUUACAGAUGGUUGUGAGCCACCAUGUGGUUGCUGGGAAUUGAACUCAGGACCUCUCAAAGAGCAGAGCAGUCAGUGCUCUUAACCGCUGAGCCAUCUCUCCAGCUUCCACCCCAACUCUUUUUUUUUUUUGUUUUGUUUUUCGAGACAGGGUUUCUCUGUAUCACCCUGGCUGUCCUGGAACUCACUCUGUAGACCAGGCUGGCCUCGAACUCAGAAAUCCCCCUGCCUCUGCCUCCCAAGUGCUGGGAUUAAAGGCGUGCGCGACUACGCCCGGCUCCCCCUCCUAUUUUUGUUUUCCGUUUUUUCUUUCUUAUUAAAGGCUCAUUCUGUAGCCCAGGCGGCCUCCAUCCUGUGACAAUCCCAACUGCCUCAGCUGCCUAGACGCUGGGUCGCAGGUAAGCACCACUGGGUCUGGCUCUUUUGGAGAUUAGGGUUGGGGGACUUUUCUGUUCUUUUUAGUUGUACUUUCAAAAAAUACCCUGCAAUGUGUACACGUUUACCUAUAUGAGGAAAACAUUAUUUAAAACACAUAUUGGAUUGUUAUGUAGAUUUUAUAACAGUAAAAAAAAUGUUAUCAUGUACUUACCAUAAAUCUUUCGAGUCCUAGGUACUGAUCGGAUAGUGAGCAAACAUGUUUCCUGCCUUCACUCGGCUCAUGCCCCACUGUAACACUUUGAAUUCUAGUGGGAUCUAGAACAUUCUUUCCGUUAUUAAGUGCCUUGUGUUCUGACCUCCACACAUGUACUUGACUUUUCCUACCCAACAGGCAAAUACUGCUUCAGUAGGAAUCAAAUCCUUUAUUCUCGUGGUUUUUAUACUUAAAUAUUUAGGGUCCUUUUCAUACUUAGGUCAAAAAAUUCAUUCUUUCCCCACUUUUGUAUACAAUGACAAAAUUUAGACUAAAAUUUAAUGUCCAAGUAGUAUCAUUUUGUUUGAGACAUAGCCCUGGCCAGCCUAGAACUCACUCUGUAUACUAAGUUGGUCUCGAACUCACAGAGAUCUGCUUGCCUCUGACUCCACGCCCAGACAACUUUGUUUGUUUUUGAUAAACUCUCCUGCAGCUGGUGAGCCUGUGAGUCGGUCAGUGUGUUAACCGCAGAUGACCUCCUAGCUCCACUUCCCAAGUGCUGAGAUUACAAGCUUGAGCGACCGGGCCCACAAGAAACAUUCUUUCUUGGUGAAAUGCUCCAGGCCUUGGGUGCUAUUUCCAUCAGGGGAGGGUGAGCUGGGGGAGGGGCUGUGAGGGAGGAAGGAGAAGGGGACGGGGGCUGUGAUUGGGAUGUAAAGAGAAUAAAUUAACAGAAAAACCAAACCAAACAACAGCAAAAAGCUUGUCAUGUAAAAAUCUCAGUGAUCCUUUUUUUUUUUCUUUAAGAAUUCAACAGAGAGCCCUCUGCUUCCUGUGUACGGGUGAGUAUGUGUUCCGAUAGCUUCCUGUUCCUGCUACGGUGCCUCUCUUGCCUGAUGAUGUCAUGUCUUCCCUGCCAUAAGGGCUCAAUCCUUCUGGAACUGUAAACAAACAAAAAAGCACAUCCUUUCUUCUCCUCCUUCCUGCCAAAAACUAACUCAAUAGAUAACUUACUAUUCUGCCAUACUCAUUUAAAUUUACUAGAUCAUAUAUUUUCUUUAAUAGGGAGAUAUGUGCCAGCAAUUAAGGCCGAGGAAGGAAUGAAUGCCCUUGUGUUUGAGGCCAGCCUGGGCUCCAUAGUGAAUUCUAAGCUAGCCAGGGCUAGAGAGCCCUUGUCUCAAAUAAACAAUAAGUAAGUAAACAUCCAUUGAAACCACUAAAAUCAUGCUAUUAUGAGGCAAAUGAUUUAAGUUUUUUUUUUUUAAUUUUAUAUGUAUGGGUGUCUGUGUGCCAUGUCUGUGCAGCAGAGCUUAGAAGAGGGAGGGCAGCUGAUCCCCUGGAACUGGAGUUACAUACAGUUGUUAGCUGCUGUGCAGGUGCUGGGAAUCAAACCCACGUCUUCCAGAAGAGCAGCACUGAGUCGUCUCUCCAUUGCCACCCAAGCAGAGCGGUGACCUGUUCAAGAUUCACAGAACCCACUCCUUUUCUGUCACUUUACCCACUCUGUGUUCCUCAGUAAUUCAGUGCUCUUCUGAGCUGCCUGGAGCAAAGACUUGCAGUAUCCAAUUAAACCGUUCCAGGGACAGCAAGAUGGCCUAGUGGGUAAAGGCACAAGCCACCAAGACUAAUGGUGACUGAGUUCAAUCACUGAAAUUCAUAUGAUAGAGAAAAAAGACAUUCACAGUUCUCUUCAUAUCUCCACAGGCACACCACAGCAUACAUACACAUGUAUACAAAGUGCAUGCACGCUAACACAAUCACACAUGUAAAUAAAAUUGAAAAAACUUAAGUACAUGAUUCAAAGUACAUAAUAUUAUCCACAAAUGUUACUAUAGGAGAUUAUGCCUAAAGUCUAUGUAGACAGCAAUAUUAGAAUGGACAGGUGCCACCUUCAGUGAGUUCUUUUAAAAUCUUUAAUUAUAAAACCAAUGUGUUUUACACUAAAUGCAUUCAUAGAAAUUCGUCAUCAGUAUUCAAGAUCACUUACCACUAAUUAUGGUUUCAAAGACAGUUUCAAAAUACUAAGCACGGAUCUCUAGUUACAUUUAGAAACAUUGAAACAUCUCCUUGUCAUGCAUCCACACCCACCCACACGUACUUACAUGCAGACCCACACAUGAAAAAAAAAAAAAAGAAAGAUAGAUUUCCUUGUGAGCUAGACAUAGUGACGCUCACGUAUAUCCCAGUACUUCGGAGACAGAGACAAGGAAGACCGCUUUGAGUUUAAGGCCAAUCUGGGAUACAAAUUAUAUAGCAAAUCUCUGUCAGGAGGAGUAAAUAUCUUCUUUUUUUUUUCCUGUAUUUUCUACUAUACCAGAUACUAAAUGUUAGUUUGCUAAUAACAUUGCUGCAUAACUAUAACAUUGUUGCACAGCUAUAACAUUGUUGCAUAGCCAUAAGAUCAUGUAAAUGAGACAUUUAAUUGGAUCCUUAUGUUCUCCUUGAAGCAGUAGUUCUUGGACUUUGCUGUUCACCAGGAUUACAGAAAGGCUUCUUAAACUAUGGGAUGUAACUCCUAAUGGGGUUAUCUAACUAGACGUGAGCAUCACAAAAACAAACAAACAAACAAAAACAGAAACAAAAACAAACAACAAAUGGCAACAAUAAAAGGAUUCUGGGCACACAAUGCCCAAGAAUAAAAAUCAAACGCAUGAUGAAUCCGGGCUUUUCUGAAAGCAUUUGUGGGUACUGCAUCAUGCGGCUUCACCUCAGCCCUGGUUCUAAACACACAAACAUGCAUACUUUGCACAAACUGUGUAUGCCUCAGCCAUACCGCACCAAGGACACUGUGAAACACCAGCUUAGAGUCAAGAUUACUGCAAGUUACAAACUGCAGUGUUUUUACUAUACAUGUAACAUUUUCUGCUCCUAUAAGAACAUAUGGGGGCUAGAGAGGUGGCUCAACUCAGUGGUUAAGAGCACUUGUUUCUCUUGCAGAGGACCCAGGUCAGCCAGCCAUCGCUCUAGUUUCAAGGGAGCUGAUGACCUCUUCUGACCUCCACAGACACCAAGCAUGAAUGUGAUGCACAUACAUACAUACACGCAGGCAAAAUACUCACAUAUAAAUGCUUUAAAAAUGAAUACUGGUCUAAAGUCAGUUUAAUUAUAAAGAACAAAGACAUUUUAUAUUUUCCUGCAGUCAUUCCUCAAAUGUAUCAAAUACUUUUGGAUGGGAUUGUAGAAGAAUGUUUGAUUUGAAAACAGCUGUUUGCAUUGCUCACUUGAGUUUAAUAAAAAUUGCUAAAUGAAUUUUGCCUUGUAAUUAGGAGAGACUUGUCAACCAUUUUGGAAUCAGCCCUAAAUAGACCUCUGCCAUUUUGUGCUGUAUAUGAAUGCAAAGUGGUCUCCUCAACAUGAUCUGUAAAAUCAAAUUCUCAAUCAACCGUGACCAAUGCUGAAGAUGCUCUAUGCCCUGUAAUAUCAAAUAUUCAGCCAGGACUUAAUUAUUCAUGAAACAGUAAAUAAGCAAUACAUCUCAUUAGUGUGCUCAUUUGCAUUUAUCCUUAGUAAAUAGUAAAGUUCUAUGAAUAUCCAAGAAUUAUGUUAAAAUAAAUGUAUGAUUUAUUAGCAAUGAAUGUUUAAUUUGUAUACCUAUUCUAACUGCCUAUAUGGCUGUAAUAGUUUUGCUUCUCUGUUACUCUGAUAAACCAUGACCAAAAGCAACUUGGGGAGGAAAGAGCUUAUUAUAUCUUACAGGUUAGAAGCCACCAUCGAGGGAAAUCAGGGUAGGGGCUCACAAAGGAACCUGGAGGCAGGAGCUGAAGCAGAAACCAUGGAGAAAUGCUGCUUUGCUCAUACUGCAUGCAUGCGUGUCUGGUGCACACAGACUCCAAAGAGGGAAUCAGGUCUCCUAGAACUGGAGUUAAGGAUGAUUGUGAACUGUUAUGUGGCUCCUGGGAACCACACCCACCCAUGUCCUCUGGAAGAGCAGCCAGUGCUCUAAACCCUCAGCCACCUCUCCAGCACUCCCCACCCCCACCCCCAAAGUAUUUUUAAGAGAUGAGGUCUUGUGACUGAGGCUGUAGCUAUGUGGUAGUGUGCUUGCCUAAACAGGGAUUAGGGUUAGAGUUCAGAGGUAAGAGUCUGUCUAGCAUGUAUGAGAUCCUGAGCUCAGUUCCUAACUUGGAAAACAGAAAAGACUGGUGUGGGCCUUGGGAAGGCAUGGUACUUCUGGCUCACCUCUGGGGCAUGCAUGCAUCUAGUAGGAGAGACCUUGGACUGUAAAAGAGAAGAAAGUAAACUAAUGAAUAAUAUAUGCUGAUUUAUAAUCUGAGGCACCAUCUUGUGCCGUCUUUUAUAGCCAACCAGCAUCUUAGUGUGCUUCCAUUUCUCCAUGCAUGUCUGAAGAUUUUAGUAUUUUUGGGCAUUUAUCAUGUACAAGAUAUGAUUACACAGUGGAAAGGAUACAAAAAAAAAUCACUUAUCCCUUUACAUCUUUGGAAAGCAAAUACGAUGUAAGCAUAGUUGAAAUGGGUACAUUUUAGGGACUCUUCAAUUCUAAAACCUUUACAUAUUAGUAUCGGAUAGGAUAAAGAAGGGGGGAGAUCAAGGGAGUGCAAAUGUGAGAGAAAGGGGGGGAGAGAGAGAGAGAGAGAGAGAAAGAGAGAAAGACAGAGAGAGAGAGAGAGAGAUCGAACACAGGUGCAUACAUUUACAAGUCAUUGUUCUAAAAGCCAAAGAAAACAAAUUAGAAGGCAGAAAUAAGAGUUAGUUCAGAGGUCUCAAAGUCCAGUGUCUCGGGCAACAAGAUAACAAGUUUCAGAGUCAGGCACAAGGACACCCCGCUUUGAUUCUCUUACUUAUCUUGCAUGACCUUGGAGAGAUCACCUAGGGUCUAGGAAUUAUUUUUAUUUGUAAAACAGAACAAUAGCACUGCGGUGCUUAGCACACAGUGACACACGGACAGCCACUGACUGACUACAUUCAUACUGCAGUGUAUCUCUGGCUCACUGGUCUGACUUUAAGCUGCUUAUGUGAGAAAAGGAAUGUGCUUAUUUAUUUCUAUGAAGCAGCAUUUAGCACAGUGUUUGGCAAAUGCUAAAUACUGCUAUGAAUAAACAUUCUCAUUAUAGUAAAAUUAUUUUAUUAUUUGAAAUCCUUCCUGUAGUAAGGAAACAGUAAACUUCAUGUUAACUGUUUUAAAAAAUAGUUUUAAAUUAUAUUUUCUUAGAAUUUACUGUUAAUUAUGCAUAUCAUAAAAUGUCAGAUGGUUUGGUACUUUGUUUGAACAUAGCCGGUCAUCUAUGCUGAAGGAACUGAAUAAUAUAAUAAUUUCCCAUGGUCUGUAUCAACCACAAAAGCUACCAGGCAACAGAGAAAGCUGUAUUUAUUUGACAACCACUUUAAAAAAGUUAUAAUAAAAUAAAAAGCUUUUUAAACCAAGGAAAUUCUCAAAAUGGAAAGCUCAAUUAAUUAAAAUCUUUUAUAGUCUUCGGGGAAAUGAGAAGAAAUUCAGUUUCAUGGUUUGAUGAUUCUGACCUAUGUAGGAAUAUAAAAUGUACUAAUUACUUAAUGUCGUAUUUAAUGGGCUUUUCCACUGUGGCGUUUAAUUAGCUCAUUUGACUAAGAGUAUGACUCUAAGGCGCUUUUUACAAUCAUUGGACUUUGUUUUAAGAGAAUACCUUUAUUUUAUAUUUGAUUUUCAAUGUUUUACCCUCCUCCUCCUCCUCUUCCUCCUCUUCCUCCUCUUCCUCCUCUUCCUCCUCUUCGCUUACUGGGAUCAAACUCAGGGCUUCAUGAAUGCUUCUGAAUUACUUUGCCACUUAGCUGCACCCUAGCUCACUGAUCGUCAAUAUAGUUUAAUAGACCUAAAUUACCAUCUUUUUGCUCAGUUUUUGAUAAGUGCUGGGACUCAAACCCAAGUCCUCAGUAUAUGGUAAUAUCACUUGUCCUCUAUUUUUUCUUCUUUUCUCUUAUAGUCAAUGAAAUUCUGGCCUUUAAUGACAAGAUUUACUUGGAGUCAUUUUUAAUGCACUAUUCAAAAGACUAGUGCCUUUACAGUGACGAUUCUGAACCUUUACAGCAGACGGGUACAAUGGUAACACUUUUAGGAUACGUACUAUCAAUUUCUCAAGUUAAUUUAGAAUCUACUGCUUAUUAAUGACCAGUAUGUGUUUAUGGGGUUCUAAAAUAUCAUAUGCUACAUUUAUGAUAUUAAUAUAGUUUUCAAACUCAAAAGUCUUUCCCUUCCUUAAAAUAAUUUUUAAAAAUAGGGGCUGGAAAGAUGGUUUAGCAGUUUAGAACACUACUUGCUCUUGCAAAGGACAGGAGUUCAAUUCCCAGCACCCACAUGGUGGCUCAUAACCAUCCCUAACUCCAGUGCUAGGGGAUCCAACAGGGCCUCUGACAUCCUCUUCUGGUCUUCACAGGCACCAGGCAUACACAUGGUACACACAUAUAUAUGUAGGCAAAACACUCAUAUAUUUUAAAUAAAAUAAUAAAAAAAUUUUAAAGUAUCUGGGUGUGGUGGUACAUGCCUUUAAUCCCAGCACUAGAGAGGUAGAGGCAGGUGGAUUUCUGUGAGUUCUAGGACAGCCUGGUCUACAGAGUGAGUUCCAGGCCAACCAAGGCUGCAUAGUGAGACUGUCUCAAAAUAUUAAAAAAAAAAAAAAUUAAAAGGGAGGGCUGAAGUUGUGCCUAGAAAACAUGGUUGGCAUUCAUGAAAAUUUUGGUUCAAGGUUCAAACAUCAAAGAAAAUAAAUAUGAACUGAGAAAUGACAUUGGCAAAGUGUUUGCCGGGCAAGCAAAGGACCAAAGGAUCUCACCAAUGCCCACAGGCAUGGCAUCGCUCCUGUAAUGCUAGUGCUGGGAAGAAAGAGACAAGAAGGCAGAUCCCUAGAGCUCUUGACAACCAAGCAGGGGUUGGGGAUUUAGCUCAGUGGUAGAGCGCUUGCCUAGCAAGCGCAAGGCCCUGGGUUCGGUCCUCAGCUCUGGAAAAAAAAAAGACAAAAUAACAAAAAGACCAAAAAAAAAAAAAAAAAAAAAAAAAACAAGGUAACUGACAACCAAGCAGCCCAGCUCAAUCAGUGAACUUCGUGUUCAGUGAGAGACCCUGUCUCAAAAAACAAGGUGGGGAGCAAUUAAGGAAAAGUGAUAUUGCCCUCUGACCUCUGUGUGCACGCACGUACAAGCACACAUUUUAAGAAGGGAUUGCUUUUCAAAACAGACAUGCAUCGAGUAGAUGGCUAUAACAUUAGGAAUUAAAAAUAUAGAGGGAAAAAAAAGCUGCCUCUGGCUACUUCAAUAAUAAUUGAAAUUUAAAAUUUAAAUAGAUUGCAGCAUUACUCAACUACUUAAUAGGAAAAAAAUAUCUCCAGGCAUCUUGGUAAAUGAACAAUUACCUUUAAAGAAAAAAAUUGCCAUUCCUACCAACUAUGCACCAAGAUGCAAACUGCUUUUUUAAUUUAUUGUUUAAAUAAUUGCUAGAUUUCAAAUUCUGUUUGCAAUAGCAGCACUAAGAACUUUUUCAUUUCUUUUCUUUUAUAAAGCAAGGGGAUGACGGUGAAGAGUGCCUGCCGAUGAGGGUGGGUGGUUAUUGUAAGAUGAUUUCUUUAUUUUUAUAUUGUGUGCAUUUGGUGUUUGGCCACCAGAUCUUCUGGAACUGGAGUUUUGGAUCACUUUACAGUUGGAUCACAGCAGACAGUUGUGAGCUGGCAUGUGGAUGCUGGGAUUCAAACCUGAGUCCUCUAGAGGAACUAACUGCCAGUGCUCUUAACUGUUGAGCUAUUUCUCCAGCCCUACUUUUUUCUAUUAUUAAAAGGAAGAGUUUAGAAUAGUAUUUGGUGAAGAAAAAAAAAAUCCUUAAACUGCUCUUCAUCUAUAGGCAGUCUCUAAACAGGCUAACUCUGCAUGAAAGACAGUAUGAAAAGUCUGCUUCCCCUCCAUCGAAAGUGAUGCUAAUUAUAGUAACCAGAAGAUGCCUGCCUGUGGCAGAAAGGCAGAGAAUUCUGUAUCUGUGAGUAUCUCAGGAGGCAGUGUUGACUAAGUUAGACUUGAGGAAGAAAAAACAAUGUCAGCCAGACAUCGUGGUGAAAAGCUUUAAUCCUGACAUUAGGCGGGGCAGAGGCAGGUGGCUCUCUGUGUUCCAGGACAGUCUGUUCUACACAGAGAAACCCUGUCUGUCUCCAAAAGGAAGAGAGACCACUGACAGGGAAAUUAGCUGGGAGGCUACUAAAAUAAUAAUACAAGAUCUGAUAAAAGGCCAGACUAGAGCUAGGGAGAUGGCUGUGGGUAAAACGCUCGCUACACAAGUGUUAGGGCCCAAGUUCAAAUCUCUAAAAUCCCAUGGGAAAGCCAGAGGAGGAGGGACAAUAGCUCACAGGCCAGCUAGCCUGGGGUACACAGUGGGAAAACAAGGUAGAAAGUGUAAAGUGACACGGAAGGCUGACCUCUGACCUCCAGAGGUGCCUGCACUCACACACGGACACACGCACGCAUGUGUGUGCGCACACACACAUACAUAACACGAGAAAUUUAAAAAAUCAUCUGAAUUAAGCAAACGGCAAUGAUAAAAACUCCAGGAGCUACUAUAUUUGCUUGCAUCUUCACAGAGAUUUUUCUUGAUAGAAAAUAGAUUUGCAAUGUAACAAGAAUCAUAAAAUGGUUGCCAUUAACUGCCAUUCCUUACCUCAGACUCUCGAGAGAACAGUACAUUGACAUACCGAUAGGGAAACUUUUCUUUUGCAUCUGUCUUGGCUUUCUCGUCUACAGAAUUAUUUACUAAUAUAAUACAUCUAUUUCCUGCCAUGGGUAAGGGAGGGAACAAGCCUGUAACAAUGGCAAAACCAACUCUCCACGACGUCGUGUCAGGACAGUGCGCUACUGGAUGAGGGCAGCAGUCAUUCCGGAUGCAGACAAUGCUGACCGUCACCAGAUUUAUAACUUUCACUUUAUUUUCCACAAAGAUUAUUUUAUUUACCAAUCUAAAUUGGGGAAAUGCCCUGGGCAAGGCAGGCUUCCCCAUCCACUCCCCAGAUAUGGUCUUUGCCAGUGCUGAUGAUAACCUCAGGCUUCGCUCCUUGUCUCAGCCCCGAAAGCGCUGGCUUGAGUUCUUUUUCUCUUUUCUCUUUAAGUCAAAAUGUUGGACUGAGGAUGUGACUCAGUUGGUGGAGCGAUUUCCAGCACACCCCGAGCCCUGGCCUCCAUUUCUAUUACUAUCUGAAACCAGGCAUGUGGAUGCACACUGUAAUCUCAGCCUUGGAGGAGGGGAGAGAGGACUGAAGACUCAGAAUUAUCCUAAUACAGAUCAACUUCUAGGCCAGGCUGGGCUACAUAAGAUGCUGUUUCAAAACACAACAACAAAAGGCAAAGGCCAUGGGCUGGGUGGGGCUACAGUUCAGUUGGUAGAGUGCUUUCAAACAUGAACAGAGUCCUGAGUUCAAUCUGCAGUACCACAUAACCCAGGAGUGGCGGUGCAUCAGGCCGGUCGGUAGCCCAGUACUCGGGUGGCAGAGGCAGGAGGAUCAAAAGUUCAGUGUUAUCUUCAGCCACAUAACAAGUUCAAAACCACCAUUUCAUAUAAUACUUUUUUUUUUCCAGGACAGGGUCUCUCUGUGUAGCCCCAGCUGUCCUGGAACUCACUCUGUAGACCAGGCUGGCCUUGAACUCAGAGAUCUGCCUACCUCUGCCUCCUUAGUGCUGGGAUUAACCACCCAGCACAUGAUACUCUUUAAAAAAGGAUUGGUGGUAACUCAGACAAUAAUGGUUUUUGCCACCAAGCCUAAUGACCAGAGUUCCAUGCCAAGAACAUACAUGGUGGAAUGAGAGAGCUGACUCCUCCAAAUUAUCCUCUGACCUUCAUGUGACCUCCACACAUGCCCACACAUACAACAAACAAAUGUAAUCUUUUUAAACUAGAAAGAAAGAAAUAAUUCUAUGGGGAAGAGAUGUUUAAAAAUAAAACCUAGUAGUUGAGUUGAACAAUAAAAGAAAAGGGGAAAAAAAAAAAGCUGAUUGAGCAAAGAAAACAAAAGCUCAGAGGUGGGGAGAGAGCACCUCGGUUCUGCAAACUCCAUCAAGAUCUUUAUGAUUGGGGAAUAGUUACCAGCAAGAACACAGGGUAGCUGAGCUGAGAACGGGUGAGGCAGCCAGGAGCAGCCUCAGGUAGGACCCUGCAGGCUCAUCAAGCAGGGCAGCCCCAGCUACAAGCUGAGGACACUAGAUAUGUUUAAGAAGACAGAAAAGCAACACCCUGAAAUAUGCAAAAUUGCCUGCUACUUUGUAGCUUGGACCAGGCUGGUGGGAGGCAGAGCAUUUUGUUUUCAUUUAGAAAUGAAAUGAAAAGGUUUCUAAACAAAAUAAUUAAAAUGCUCCAUUUUGCUUCUCUAUGAGGGGCUAGAGACUUCCUGAAAUGGUUCCCUAAAGACGCGCUGCUCUAAACACGGAAACCUAAGAAUGUGAAUGGGACAUCACUUGAUGGUUGUGUGCUCAUUACGCUGUGCUAGUUUCUCUCCCAGUGCUAGGGAUUGAGCUCAGGGGUCCCACACAUGAGGGAUAGAACUGUUAUCUCGGAGUGAAGUGUACAACUCCAGUCUUUAAAGAAAUAUGUAUUACGUCUAAACCUGUACUGUUUGCCAGGACAACCACUGACCACCCUGUGGCUAAUAAGUGUUCAAGUAGAGAUAGAAUUGUGCUGUCUUUAUAAAAUAUGCACAGAACUUUAGAAACAUGAAAUAAGAAUUUAUAUAUUAUUUAUGUAGAUUACAGAGAGAUUGAAAUGUAAAUGUUUUGGGCACUUCUGGAUAAAUCAGUUAUUAAGACUAAACUAACCUCUUUUUCUUUUCAAUUUUUUUCUCUUUUAUUCAAGAUAGGAUUUCCCUACAUAAUCCUGGCUGACCUCAUUGUAUAAUCCAGACUGGCCUCAAACUCACAGCAAUCCUUCAGCCUCAGCCCACUGACUGCUGAGGUUACAGCUACUACACCAGCUCUUUUCACUUUCUGCUGUGUGAUUGAUGCAAAAUUUAAAACAAUACGUGUGACUCAUAUACAUUCCUAUCGAAUAGGGGGUUGGGGGGGGCGGGGUUAGCUGAAUGGUGAAGCAUCUGCCUAGCAAAUACACAGCCUUGGUUCAAUCAUCAGCUGCAAGAAAAUACAACAAAACAAACAAAAAAACCAGGGCCGGGCAGUGGUGGCGCACGACUGUAAUCCCAGCACUUGGGAGGCAGAGGCAGGUGGAUUUCUGAGUUCAAGACCAGCCUGGUCUACAGAGUGAGUGCCAGGACAGCCAGGACUGCGCAGAGAAACCCUGUCUCGAAAAAAACAAGAACAAACAAACAAAACAACAACAACAACAACAAAAAAAAAAAGGUAACCUACUCGAUAGAGCUGGUCUACCAUUCUGGGCACUCAUUCCUCUUCUACAGUGUUCCAAAUCGGGAUUAUAAUCAGCCAAAAGUAUUUGUCUCUAGAUAGCUGUGUAAAAAUGCAAGCAAGGUGUUAUAGCAAAUGAAAUAGCAACAAGAAGGGAUAGAGAGAAGCCGGGCGUGGUGGCGCAUGCCUUUAAUUCCAGCACUCAGGAGGCAGAGGCAGGUGGAUUUCUGAGUUCGAGGCCAGCCUGGUCUACAAGGUGAGUUCCAAGACAGCCAGAGCUAUACAGAGAAACCCUGUCUCGAAAAACCAAACCAAAAAAAAAAAAAAAAAAAAAAAGAAGGGACAGAGAGAUGGCUCAGUGGCCCAGCACCUGCAUGACAGCAUACCACUGUAACACCAGCCAGUGCCCUCUUCGGCCUUGCCAGGUACUGAGCACACACAGAAUGCAACACACACACAAGAUUAAAUUUACUUACUUUUAAAUUUAUUUAUAGAAUGGAGGGUUUUUCUGAGGCUUAUGGUUCGAAGGGUUAUGAUAAGAGUCCCUCACCAUCAGAGAGGGGUAAACAAAAUUUUAAAUAACAAGAAUGUAAGGAAAGCAGACCUCUCACAGUGCUAUUAGACAAAGCAAUUUGGUAAUAUUGAUACAAAAUAUCAAUCGGACCAUUCUUCUUCUAAAUAUACAACUCAGAAAGUUAUGAACAUAUGCAUAUGGAGACAUACCCAAAGUGUAGGGAAUUUAUAGGGCAGAGGUCACUGGCUAUUUUUCCACAAUGUGGAGUUGCUUCUUGAAAGCAACUGCCAUGCCAGAGACUUCAUUUCCCAUACUCCUUUGUUGGGGAAUGCAGGCCAUGGUGCACAUGACUAGUCUAGCCAAUGGAACAUGAAGAAAAAUGAUACAUCUAUGCUACCUUUAACGCCUGGCCUCUAAAACCCGCAAACACCAGUCUCUCUCUAAUGGUUAACUGAUGGAUGCUGAUGCCUACAGCAACUUUGCAAAGCUCCAGAGCUUCUAUCAGCCUGGCUCUCUCUCACCAAAGCCAUGAGACACAGAUCCUUCUUUGCUACUGAAGGGACUCCAAGCAAGCAAGAAAUUAACGUGAUAAAACUUUGAGGUUUCAGGAUGUUUCCAUUAGGACAACUAGUGUUAACUUUCUGAUAUGUGAAUACUAUCUCCAAAAUGGAAGCGACCCACAUGUCCACCACAAUGAGAUUGAAUAAAUAAUCACAGCCAAGGAAAAAACAGAAUGUAGUAGCUAAAAAUGGGAAGAUAAAAGAACUACUUCUACUGGGUACAUCUGUUUUUCAAAGGUCUUUAAAAAGCUCAUUACCAAAAAAACCAAAAACCUCACUAUGUGUUGACCAAAUCAUGUGCAGUUAAAUGUAUUGUAGGCUGGGGUUUUUUGUUUUUUGUUUGUUUGUUGGUUGGUUGGUUGGUUUUCGAGACAGGGUUUCUCUGUAUAGCCCUGGCUGUCCUGGAACUCACUUUAUAGACCAGGCUGGAAUCGAACUCAGAAAUCGGCCUGCCUCUGCCUCCUGAGUGCUGGGAUUAAAGGCGUGCGCCACCAUGCCCGGCUACAGGCUGGUUUUGAACUUGCAGCAAUUUUUCUGCCUCAGCCUCUGGGUGCUGGGAUUACAAGUAUGAGCCACCACACUUGGUUCCAUAAGAAGUGUUUCAUUUCCUUAAAAUAAUUGAAAAUGUAGUAAUAUGUUGAAACUAAAUAAUGAAUAUAUUAGCAUUUUGUCUCAUUAUUCUGUUUUUUUUUCAAUAAAUUACUUUAUAAUACUAACGCUCAUUUCUUUAUACUGUCAUGCAUGGAUGGUCAAAGAAUAUAUAAACUGAGAAAUGGGCUCACUGAUGGUUUAUUUCAUCUCUGUAGGAAUAUCAUAUAGUGUACUUACUCAAAAAUACUAUGUCACUAGGUAAUAUAAUCUUACUGUACCAACAUUGUAUGGUCCGCCGAUGUAACAAAUAUUGUUAUAACUUAUGUGACAAAAAAAAAUACCUGCUUCAAGUAUAAAAUAGUAAAAUCAUGUUAAAAGACAUUAGAGCUAGGUAACUAGGUAUCAAAAACCUUAAAAUAAAUACAUAAAUAUUUUGUUGUUGUUUUGCGUUUUUGUGGGGGUUUGAUUUUAUUUUUAUUGAGACAGGAUCUCUCUAUGGAGCCCUGGUUGUCCAGAAACUUCCAAGCUGGCCUGGAACCCACAGAGAUCCACGUAUCUCUGUCUCCCAAAUACUGGAAUUAAAAGUGUGCGCCACCAUACCCAGAUGUAAAUAUCUUUUAAUAUAGCAAUCUCAAAUCCAGAAAGAAGUCUUAAGAAAAUGAGACUUAUCCAAAGGAUGAUCACCACAAUAUCCUCGAGUAAUCAAAAGCUGGGAACACCUAACUUGUUCUUAGAACUCAAAUUACUGAACACGCACAGAAAAUCCUAUAGGACAUAAUGAGAGAAGUGAGGAGAAAUGUGACUUUAUUUAUUUAUAUAUAUAUAUGUAUAUACAUGAGAGAGAGAGAGAGAACCAUAGAUUGCCUGCAUCUUAGAAGGGACUUUGGACGUUAAACACCUUUAGAACUGUAAGACUAUGGGACUCAUGUCAUUGGACUGAGUUUAUUUUGCAUUACUAGGUAGAUGGCAACAAGCCAAUGGGAGAAGGGACAGAAAACUAUAGCUUGGAUGUAAAAUGUGCAACACGGGGUCAUACAUUUGAACACUGCUGUUUGGGAAGGGUGUGGAACAUUUUAGAAGGGGUCUCGCUGGUAGACACAGGCACACAGGGGCAGGGUUUAGACAGUUCUAGGUAGCCCAGUUCUGGCUCAACAUUUCCAUUUCCUCAUCUAUCUAGAUAGAACAUGUCACACCUAAAGCUCUGCCACCAUAAAGGGCAUCCCACCCACCAUGCUUCUCUGUAUCCUUUUCCCCUAGGCUGCUUCUUGCUUCUGUUGAAUAUUUUUUUUUCUCAGCAACAAGUCACACACACACACACAGAGCAUGCACGUAUAAUUUGUCAACUUGUCAGGGUCUGCCUAUGAGGGAGUUGCAAGACUGGCUUAAAUGAGAUUGGAAGAUGCACUAUGGCCGGCACUAUCUCAUAGCCAGAGUCCUAGGAUAAACUUGAGAAGGCAAGCGAGGUGCUGGCGCUCACUUCCAUCUGCUUCCUGCCGGUGUUCUCCUGCUCUGUGGCUGCAGCUGCAUCCUCAAGCUGUGAGCCAAAAUAAACCCCCCUUCCCUUCUCCUGCUUUUGUGAGAUGCUUUGUCAGUGAUGAGAGAAACAAGCAAUGCACAGGACCUUGGUAUUAUAACCCAGGUUAGCUAAACUCACCAUCCUCCUGCCUCAGGCCUCUAAGUGCUGGGGGUUAUGGGCUUGUUUUGUUUGCAGUGCUGGGAUCAAACUGCUUGUCAUGCCUAUGCUACACAUGUUCUCUGCCACUGAGCCACAUCUUCACCCCACUACACCAACCUCUCUCUCUUUUAAUUCCCCACUUUAAAACAUGGUUUCACUAUGGAGCCCUGGCUGGCCUCAAACUCAGAAAUCUACCUGCCUCUGCCUCCCAAGCGUGGAAAUGAAAGGUCUGUGCCACCAGGCCAAGACCAGUCUUUUUGUUUGUUUGUUUGUUUUUUAAAGAUGUAUUUGUUUAUUUUAUGUAUGUGAAUACACUGUCAUUGUCUUCAGACACACCAGAAGAGGGCAUCAGAUCCUGUUACAGAUGGUUGUGAGUCACCAUGUGGUUGCUGGGAAUUGAACUCAGGUCCUCUGGAAGAGAAGUCAGUGCUCUUAACUGCUGAGCCAUCUCUCCAGCCCUGUUUGCUUGUUUCUGAGACAGGAGACAGGGUUUCUUUAUGUAGCCCUGGAUGAACUCACUAUGUAGACCAGGCUGGCCUUAGAAUCAGAGAUCCACCUGCCUGUGCCUCCUGAGUGCUGGAAUUAAAGGCGUGUGCCACCACUGCCCAGCAGACAUUUCUUAUAUACCAAUGUUUCUUAAACACACAACACUUUUGCUUGAAUUCUACUCGUUUCUGAAACAUACUAUCUUUUUUGGAAAAAUUAUGUUUAACUAAGUAGGGCACAACAAAAGUUUUAUGCAGUAGGCAGUGGGUAGGGUACACCUUUAAUCCCAGCACUCGGGAGGCAGAGGCAGGUAGAUCUCUGAGUUUGAGGCCAACCUGGUCUACAGAGUUCCAGGACAGCCAAGGCUACAUUAAAAACAACAACAACAACAACAAAACAACAACAACAAAACUUGUGUUUCUGUUACAAAGUUCAAUCUUAAACUUAAAAAAAAUAUAUUAAUGGGUGUGCAUGGGCAUGAGUGUGUGUGUGUGUGUGUGUGUGUGUGUGAGUGUGUGUGAGUGUGUGAGUGUGUGAGUGUGUGUGUGAGUGUGUGUGUGUGUGUGUGUGUGUGUGUGUGUGUGUGUUGGGUUCCGGGGAUGUGGUGGGCGGUAUGCACACAGAAGCAGGAGAAGGAACUGGAUCCCUCACAGCUGGAGUGUGGACGUUACACCCGUCUUGUUAGGGAGUGCCAGGACUUUAAUUAUGGUCCUCAUCCUUGCAUAGCAAGCCCUCAGUCUCUGAGCCAUCUCUCUAGCCCCCAGUUAUUGCAGAAAAAUUUAAGUUAUUUGUCCAUUUCAUGAGAACUAAAAAAUUUUAAACUGGGAAAUAUAAUCCUUAAUUUUAUUUAAUCAGGCACAGGUGAACUGCACAGUUUACAAUGCCCUAAAAGUUAGAGCAGGCACCACUAUUAAUCUCUGAGUCACAGGUUUACUGCGAAAUCAGCUGCGUUCAGAGCAAAUUACCAAUUUCCAUAAUUACAGCAAAUAUUAAUAGCACUGUCUUCUUGGCACUACUGGGGAUUGGAUCUGAGGUCUUCCUUAUGCUAGGCAAGAGAUUCACCACUCAGCUACAUCCUCAUCUUCAACUCUUGCAUUUUGGAAGUGCAUGCUAUGUGUCCUUAAACUUGCUGUAGCACAGGCUGGCCUCAAAUGGGCCAUCCUACAGCCUCCAUCUUCAGAUUGCUGAGAAUUACAGUUAUGCACUACCGUGCCUGGCUUAAUUCUAUAUUUUGUAUAUAAUAGAUUUUUACCAUUUUUCUUUUGCUCUUAUGAAUUUAGCUACACCUUACUGUAAAGAUCACCGGUUGAAUGGAGGAGAUAUAGACAUUAGACACGAGUGAAACAAGAGCUUAUAGAGUAUGCGCUGGGCAGUCUGGAAGGGGACAUAGAAGGGUCACAGGUCAUCAUAAGUGUGGGGAUGGUUUCCUAAACAAUGCACAAAAGAUUGGGCUGAGUGGUGGAUGGAGUGCAUUCCCAGCAGAGUAAAAGACACGAUUGGGGAAAUGCAGAUAUUAUUUUUUUUCUUUUCCAUUUUUUAUUAGGUAUUUAGCUCAUUUACAUUUCCAAUGCUAUACCAAAAGUCCCCCAUAGCCACCCACCCCGGAAAUGCAGAUAUUAAAGAGAGAAUAAGAUAUGCACACUGUCUUAGUCUGCUAUAGCUGUGUAGUUGCUAGAAGUGGAUGGGGAGAGGGAUACAAAGUCUCACUCCCUACAGCUCGGCUUUGCCUAAAGAAAGGUCCAGCUUUGUCCUCGGGUCUGAGGAGGAACGUCUCCAGAAUCUCUGAUUACAUCAGAGAUAGUCCUAAGUGUAGAUGCCAGUGAGAAUUCUGAAAACUGGGACUUGGGUGGGACUCAGAAUGUCAUACUCUGAGCACUGCGCCACAUAUUUGCACUGGAUGAUGUACUCCUGAGCAUAGGACACUCUUGACUUCUGCUGCUUUUGUAGAGUACACCUCUUCCUUGGGCUGGUUUUAAUCUAUACCUUGUCCUUGCAAUAAACUAUAUUCAUAGUGGUCAAUGACUUCUAUUUGUCUUUCUAGAGAAUUCCUGGAUUUGAGGGUAGUUUUGAGAAACCCCAAACAUUCAGCGCUGGUCUUAGAAAUGAGGGUGGUCUUAUAUGAUCUCUUUCUUCUAAACUUUGUUGAAAUUCUGUCUUUAAAGUUGGGAUCAGAAGUCUUGUAUUAACUCACACAGUAAAAGAAGAGAACUGACUCCCAGAAGCGCGCACACACACACUAUACAUAUAUAUGUAAUAUUAUUACUAAUAUUAGUGUAUAUGUACAGUAAUAUAUAUUAGUAAUACAUAUUACUACUAAAAUUUUUUAAUGUUUUAGUAUAACACUUAAAAAAUCUAUAUAAUCUGAAGCUGGAGAGAUGGCUUGGUGGUUAAGAGCACUCACUGUUCUUCCAGAGGACUCAGGUUCAGUUCCCAGCACCCACAUGAUGGCUCACAACCAUCUGUUAACUAUGCAUGUGGUGCACUGACACAGACAUAUGUCAACUAAACACAGAGAGAGAGAGAAUAAAUAAAACUUAAAAAGAAAAAAAAUCUAUAUGACUCAGUCCGAUAGUAGUAACUCUGGCCACAAAAAAAGGUAAAUAAAAUGAACAAGAGGGAAUAGUGUAAGUGAAACAUUUACAAGGUUAAAUAGACAAAUCAAAUGUGAUAUCAGGAAUAUGCUCACGACAAAAAGUAUCAGGUGUCAGGCUGGAGCUGGAGCUGAGGGUGUAAGGCUAACCUAGCUUGAAAUCCCCACAACACAGCAAACAGCCACUCCCAGAUUACCAGGGUUUUAGACACCAGGUGGAAGCUGUUCCAUUAUCAGUCAAAGCAAGGAUGGAGGCAGAGCUGGGAGCCAUUAGCACAACCACAACAGCCAAUCACGUGAGUGAAUGGUAUUGAGGACAGAGCAGUCUUGAGAUGGUCAAGGACAGAACAUCGGCAUAAGAAGACGGGAAAGGCUAUUUGAAAACUCUCAGCAAAGUGCCAGCCUCAAAGGCCAAGAGAAGAGAAAACCUUGGGAACUACGACUGACACUAAGCUGUAUUUAUGUCACCCUUUUUGUGUGUGUAAGUCGUCUCCACUUUUUUUAGUGACUUUAUUACUCUUUAUAAGGAAGUGUUUCAUUUUUGAGAUGAGUGAUGAUUUUCAUGUGCAUGUACGUAAAAACGAAACAAAGCUGAACGAUUUUCUGACCUUUCCCAAAGUCAUUCAUGAUUCAACAGAACUGAAUUAUUAGUGUCUAUAACUGGUGAUUUUGUCUUCCAAACCAUUCUAAAAGUGCCAUCUUCAAUGCUACAUCGAGCCAUCUGUAACUACUUAACUUCGCCAGCCUGCUGUGAUAGCUCCCUUCCCCUUGGGAAGCCCAUCCCAGCCGAAAGGAAUAACCGAGAAAACAACUGCUUUGAAAAUGUGACAACUCAGCUUUAAAAUGAGACUUCAGUGUAUUUGAUCCUCACAGAUUAAAACAAAUUGAUUCUUAGUGUUGCAUGGGGCUGGGGGACGCACAGUACUGACUGACUUAUUAAUCUAUGCAAGUUGCUUAUACCCUCGAAUUCAAGUUGAAUAUAACAUCAGUUAUAAUGUCUUAAGUGAGAAUUAGGAAGUCAGGAGAUGUGGCUUAAUGGUAGAAUGGAUACCUACCAGGAGAAAAGGAGCCAGGCAUGGGAUCCUAGUACUUGGAAGAUGAAAGCAGGAGAACCUUUCCAUAGGUGGGAUGGGAGCUGUUGAUAUUUUAAAAUUAUUGCUCUUUCAAAAUUACAUGUUGCUUUUGCCUAGGAAUGGGAUACUGAUAUACAAGUUUUAUAUUUUGAAGCAGUAAGGUAAAAUUUUUAUCCUAAAUAUUACUCUAAAAUACUUUUUAGCCAGAGAUGGUAGCUUACCCCAUUAAGCCCAACACUUAGGAGACAGAGGCAGGAGAAUCUCUAUAGGUUCCAAGCCAGCCUGGUCUACAUAGUGAGCUACAGGGCAGGCAAGGCUAUACUGAAACCUUGUCACAAACACCCAAAUCUCAGCCUAGUGGUGGUGGCUUGUGCCUUUAAUUCCAGCACUCAGGAAGCAGAGGUGAGUGGAUUCCUGUGAGUUCGAGGCCAGCCUGGUCUACAGAGUGAGUUCCAGGACAGCCAGGUCUACACAGAGAAACCUUGUUGAGAGAAAACAAAACAAAACAAAAAUCCAAAUAAACAACAAAACCAAACCUCCUCUCAAAAAGAUUUCUUUACUUUUAUUUUUUUGUGUGUGAACUGUAUAUAUGUACACCACAUCCGUGCUUGGGCCCAUUGAGGAUAGGAAAGGGCACAGGAUCCAUUGAAGUGGAGUUAAAGGUAGUCAUGAGCCACUAGACAUGAGUGCUGGAACCAAAUCUCCAUCUGUAUACAAUAGCAGCAAGCGUCCUUCUCCAGCUUCUAAGACAUUUUCAAGUUGUCUAAACCUUCACUCUUUUCUUAGCUACAUAACUUGGUUUUGUUGCUGCUGCUGUUUGAGGGGUUUUGUUUUGGGACAGGGCUGCUAUGUAGCCUGGCUAUUCUGGAAAUCUCUCUGUAGAUCAGACUGGUCUCAGAACUCAAACAGAUCAGCCUGCUUCUACCUCCCUAGUACUGGGAUAAACGGUGUGGGCCAGCACUGGCCUGCGAUCUUGCUAACUGUUUUAAGUCACUUCUGAGUUUACCAAGAUUAGGAAUAACAGAUGUCUUCUGUUCUUAGUCUCAAAUGUGAGAGAACCAAAUAAUGGAGGAAAAUGUGUUACUAUACUACACUCCUAAGCAAAAUUUCAGCUGGGCAUGGUGGCAAAGGACUGGGAAUAUAGCCCAGUGAACUUGGUGAACAUGCAUGAGGCCCUAAGUUCAAUUCCCAAAACAGGUGAAGAGAAAACACUGAGAGAAGUUGAUAUAAUGUAUCUUUUUAAGUCUUCUUUAUCUAUUUGUGGUCAGCUUUACUUCUAGGGACAGGAGAGAAGACUUGGUGGUUAAGAGUCUCAAAAAACCAAAAAAAAAAGAGCACUUACUGCUCUUCUGAGGACUGGAGUGGGGUUCCCAGGACCCAUGUGUCAGCAAUUAGCAUCAGCCUGUCACUGCAGCUCUAGAAGAUUCUACACCCCUGGCUUCUGCAGGUGCCUGCACUCACACACACAUACCUACAAAGAGGCACAUAAUUUUCCCAGACAUUUGAGGUCAUCAUUCCCUCUGUGACAGGUGUUUUGAGAGUCGGAGAUUAAGCCAGGAAAUGUUGGAAUCAUUUCUACAAGACUCGUUUUUUGCUUUUUGGUUUUUUUUCCAAAUCUGGAUAGAGGCCUCACAUGUAAAAUGAAGAGCUUGAACAAAACAAUGGCCGAACACUACAGUUGGCUGAUCCUGAUUCUCCUAAGUCUUUUUUUUUUUUUUUUUUUUUUUUUUUGGUUUUUGGUUUUUCGAGACAGGGUUUCUCUGUGUAGCCCUGGGUGUCCUGGAACUCACUCUGUAGACCAGGCUGGCCUUGAACUCAGAAAUCCGCCUGCCUCUGCCUCCCGGGUGCUGGGAUUAAAGGCGUGCGCCACCACGCCCGGCUUUUAUCUGGUGUUUUUUUUUGGAAUAAAAUAAAAACUAAAAAUGUCAUUACACAUUUUGAAACAUUUUUUUCAUUUUGAAACUUUUACACCCACUAAAAACCUUAAAGAUACAUCACAUAAACGAGCCAGCCAUUUUAUCUCGACUAGCAUCAGAAUAAAAUACAGUACAAAGUCUGAUAUUAUGUGAAGUCAGAGUAUAAGUGUCCAAUUUAAGGGGAAAUAAUAUUUUCUAGCUGUAAUUUUGCUAGUUUUAACUCAAACACAAACUUCUGUGCUUCAUUGGCAAUCACCUUCUCAUCGUAAUCAUUUUUCUAAUUGAUAUGUACAUUUUGAUUAAUCUUGUUUCCUUAUCACAUUAAAAAUAAAAAAACACCCACAUCUUACCAUUUCAUUCUGUGCAUCUCAGUUUUAAAAGCCUUGAAAUGUUCAGACUGUACUACAUUAAUGGCAGUAUGGGAGCGUCCCUAAUCCUUAAAUUGUUCUGGGAGCAUAUGUGUAAGGGUAAAAACUGUCCAGAUAGUACUAGUCUGAGAUAAAUCCCUUCACUUUGGUAAAUACUUCCACUAUAUUUAAGUGUCUGAAUCAUGUAAUUUUUUUAAAAUGGCAUUCUGUAGGUCCUUUUCUGUGAUAGUUAAAAAAAAAAAAAAAGAAAUACUCAACCAUUAAUGCUGUUUAUCCCCAGGUGGUGGUAUUACACGCCAUUUUAUUUUUGCAUUUCCCCAAAACACACAAUUCCCCUGGUAAUUGAACAGUAUUUUAAAAUUAAUUACUGGAUGGUUUAUAAAGUGUGGCAUCCGCACAGUCCAAUUCUACAGAUCUGCUCAGUGGCUUUUCCCUUUGACAGGCUGCUGCUUUUAACAGGAGAAUGGUUUGAUCAGUUGUCUAUGAGGUCUGAUGAAGACAAAAUAGCUUUCUUUUCUAGCCCCCUCCAGGCUUUGGAGAAAUCCAGGAAGUGGGUUUGAACUUAGCCGCAGUGAAUCUUGCGAUAGUAAACUUUUGGGGUGGUCAGAGUAACACCUUUCAUUACAACUAUUAGCUGAAUGGCAAAAGACUCUCGGGUUUCCCAGUGUUUGCAGAGGCAUUAUUUCAGAACAAUUCCAUUUGGAAAGAAACGCGAUUGUAAACCGUUUCUAUUUCAAGCCCAUAAAAAGCAGAACUCGGAUGAAAGGCAAAGCCUUGACCUUUCUAUUUUAGACUUGCAUCUGGGUAGCUAAGCCAUCUGCUUUUCUCCCACCUCCCACCCCAUCUACUUAAUGGACUGAAAAUACUGCACUUAAUUGCAAUUUUAUCCAACCAGGCUGACUUUUCUGACUUACGACCUCGUCUUUUCACCUAACGGCUUGCUCGGUAGGGUUUUACUUACCCUUCCUUCCCAAUUCCUCCCUACCGCUCUCAAUUAUAUGCUGUCAAAUGUCUGCAAAGUAUGAUACUAGGCUCUCACGUAAGAAAGCCAUCUAUAGAGCCUUUUCAUUUCAACAGUGAGCGCCUGACGGAAAAUCUAGGGGUCUGGGCUCCUCUGGGCACCGACGGUAUUAGCUUUGUUGCGGUUAUGUAGAAAGGCACCUCUUACUGCCUGUAAAGGAGUCGCGCGUCCCCACCGCCCAACAAGGAACGCAGCCCGGGAAAGGACAGACAGACGAAGGUGGGAGGAAACCCCGGGAAGAAAGGCGCAGGGAAGAAUGGGGAGCCCAAGACGGGAGGGAAGACCUUGGCAGGAAGGUUCUGGAGGAAGGUGUGCGAAGUGGCCGAGAAGCUGGCCGAGAGGGCCAGCGAAGAGGGGCCGGGGGCAGGCGGGGGGGACCCCGCCCGGGUGCCCCGCGGGGACAUGGGUAGCGGGGACGGGAACCCAGGCCGGCACCCCGGGGAUGGCGGCCCACCCGCGGCCGAGCCCCGCUACUUAACUAUUUGUAGAGCUGCUGCAGGCACAGGUCCAGGCUCUCGCCCUCCACCUCCUCUCGGGUGAUGCGCUCCGACAGCGGCCGUGGGAGCGGGGGCAGCGGUGGCAGCUGGGGCUGCGGCGGUGGCGGCACGGCCGAGUGCCCCGGGGCAGCCGCUUCCUCCUCUUCCUCCUCCUCGCCCUCCGUCGCCGUCUCCUCCUCCACCGCCUCGUCUUCGGGCUCGGGGUCUUGGUCCUGCUCCCCCUCCUCGGUCGCCUCUACCGUCGCAGCGUCCUCCCCCGGUUCCUCCCCCGAAGCCUCGGCCGCCUCAGCCGCGACUAGCUCGGCUUCGGGCUCGGGCUCGGGCUCGGAUUCGGGUUCGGGCUCUGGCUCGCCGCCACCGCACGGUCCGCGGAACUCGCCCAGGAACAGCUCCAGGAAGCGCCGAUGAGGAAACAAGCCUUCAAAACAGUGACUUUGCUCAAGGUCAAAAGCAAGCGAUGCAACAAGAAUUCAAUCCGAGAUUGAAGUGGUAGAUUUCACUUGCUUCAUGGUGAUGAUGUUGGUGGUGGGUGCUUUGAAGAUGCUGUGCUGUACAGCUGUAUGGAUGAUAGCAUCAUUGCUGCAUACUACCACGUCCACGGCAGCAUGUAAUUCAGCACAAACAUAGUGAUUUUUCCCCUCUGCUUUGAAAAAACAUGUACUCACAAAUUAUCCACUCCAUCUCUCCAUUUAUUGUUUCUGGGUUUCAGCUGGAUUUAGGAUCAGAAAUACCAUUUCCAGUCAGUUAUUAAUGACAGAAGAGGGUGCGUUCUCACCAACUGUUUUCCUAUAAUGCUGUAUUUUUAAAUCCCUGACCCGAUACUGUUAUUUUAAGAUUAAGUGGGUUGAACUUACUAAUGGUAUCAUGUAAAAUAGAGUUCUAUGCUCUCUCCUAGGUCAAGAUUAAAUAAUACAUGAUAGAAAGUGUAUAGUAAAUAAUGCACUUAGAAUUUUUUCUAUUUUUUUUCCUAAGAUGAAUGGAAAGACCAAACUAGUCUGUAGAAAGAAACUGCUCCAUGGGAUGCCAAGAAAGCCCUCAAAGUCAUUUGUUUUCGACCUACUUGCUUACUGCCAUUUCAGAAAAACUAGAGAAGAGCUGGGGUGCUGGCACAACCCUUAAUCCCAGUACUCUGGAGGCAGAGACCAGUGGUGCUCUGAGUCCUAGGUCAGCCUGGACUGUCAAGUCCUAGGUCAUCCAAGGCUAUGUAGUAAGACCUUUAAUAAUAAUAAUAAUAAUAAUAAUAAUAAUAAUAAUAAUAAUAAUGGAGUGACAACUUUCUAGGCUGCAGCAACUUUAAACGCCAAUUUUACAUUCCAACAAACUCUUACUAUCCCCAAUUUUAACACAGUGACAUUUUAGUUCAGGAGUGCAUAGCUGUCAAUGCUAACAAUUCAUGUCAAGCUUCUUACAUCAUAACGUAGCAGCCUCCCUCAUUUAGAUGACAUUUGUGACAUUAAUUUAUGACUCAGCCCACACAUCAAAAGGGAAAUGAUAUAUGUUGGUAAAACAGUACUUCUAAGAAUAAAAGAAAAAACCCACACCUCUGCUGCUGGAAAUGAGAGGCGUCUUUGCUUAUAUUAAUGAAGACACUUUUUUACAAAGAUCAAUAUAGAUCCUAUUGCAUUCUUCUUAGCAAGAAAGCUUUGUCAGUGGCUGCUGGCAGAGGUGGUGGGAUCUCAAAGCCGCUGUGUAGGUGGGCUGGCCGAUGUCGAGUCGCAGUUCGUCCUUCCUAUCACCCUGCUUCCCUGUCUCCUCACACCUCCAGGUCCAUUCUAUUGCGUUUUUAUCUAAUAGAAAAUGUGACGAGCCCUGGCACAUUCUCAGACUCUCAGAGUCAUUUUCUACAUUCGCUUGGUUUUUCUCGGACCACCUGAACAUCCUUCCCUGCUCUCAACAUAGCCCGUUCUUUUUUCUCAUCUUUGAAUUUGUGUGCAUCUUCUCUGGAAAAUAAGACCAGACUUUACCGCCAUUGUAUUUUAAAGUAAAUUUCAUUAUUAGCACUUGAUGUGAUUUUAGGAUUUGCUGAAAUAUGUAAUGAACUUUUUCAUUAAAACUCAAGCCAUGAAAAAGCAUAAUGUAUGUA